UUGGAAUGGUGGUGAGGGUGGCUAUGGUUUUGGGGUUGGAGUGGUGGUGGUGAUGGUGGCUGGGUUUGGGAGGUGGUUGAGGUGUGUGCGCGAAUUGGGGAAGGUGAAAUUUAAAAGAAAUAUAUUCCAUUUUCAGUUUGAAUUAAAAAUUUUAUCAUCAAUUACAUUUUUUUUAAAAUUAAUUUUAUAUUUUUAAAGGAAUGGACCACAUUGACUAACAUAUACAAACACAAGGACCAAAUUGGCCAAAUUCAUAACACGGGGACUAAAUUGGCCUAUGAGAUAAAACACAGGGACCAUUUUAACAUUUAAGCCUUAUUAAUUUUUGAAGUAAAAAGUCCACAUUAACUAUUAACAGCAAAGGAUAACCAUGGGCCAUGGCCCAAAAGAAGAUAAGAGAUAACUCAGCCAAAAGAAAAAAGACUAAGGACAAGAAAUGUAGAUUACUAUUUUACCCCUCAUACAGUCGUUACUUUGGUUUAUACGGAGAAGCAAACGGAACACACGAGAAGGUGGAGGAAAAAGCCGUGGGUUCUGAAACACAAGAACACGUGUAGGACGGAGAGGAAAAGAUGGAAGAUGUGGCAUCCAUGCAAAUGCAAAUGGGCUUCAAAAACACACAUGAACACCACGAGAACAGCGCGUGACGACCACGUCAAUUGUUUCGGAAUGUCAGACUCCACCCCGCGUUACGUGGAAAAACGUCACCUGAUUUUAUUUUUAUUUUUCUCUCCGCUCCGUCACAAUUUUAACUCCUAAAUUUUAGGAGGCUGUUUAUGCAAUACCGCUCUUGGUUGGGUGGGGGGUGGGUCUAUCAUCUAUGGGCGCUUUCUCAUCAAACCCAGGACCCAGCCGCUACUACUUUUGUUCUUCUCAUUUUAUUUAUUUAUUUAUUGCAUAAUGCGUGCCAUAAAAAUUCAAGCACACAAUAUUUUGGUUAUCAUUGAAUACAAAAUUUAGUGUUACAUUAGAAAAAUGUGUUGACUCUGUUGAUUAAUACUUUACUAAGGUUCAAUGUAUUGACUUAUCUUUGGUUCUUACAUGCAUCUGUGUUUCCAGCUGCUUUUUCUUUUUCUCUCUUUCACAUCUUGAUUUUGUUGGCUCAUUAUGUCUCUCCUUCCCUAAUUAGGUGUAUUUGUUUUUAUCGGUGAAAUUCAACCGUAUCGUUGAGUUUUUUAUUUUCUUAAUAUGUUUAUAUGUAAGAUAAAUUUAGCCUACCUUAUCCGUUCCUAACCGUAGACCACUGGCAUAGAUGGUAACAACUCUACCAUUGAGCUAAAACUCCACUGGCAGUUGUGUCUUUCUCGAUCAUGUUUCGUUUUUUUCCCCUCUUAUGGGUAUGUUAACUGGAAGAUAAUUUUAGAAAUUCAAGACUGCAUGAUUUUAGAAGGAUUGUAUCCAUCAUGAUUGGGUUUUAAUUUCUCAAUCCUGAAUGAAUUUCAUGACCCAAAAACUAUAACAAAAUUGAUUAUAUGGUCCAGCAAAAGAAAUGAUUAAAUGUUUCCAGUAAUUCAAAGUUUGUAAGGGUCGGCCCAGAAAGGUGAUUUCCUUUUGGGCUUUUUCUUUGUUUCUCUUUUUCGUUAGAUAGGGCCCCUUUAAAUGUCUUACAGAUUGUUUCAUAUAAUUCACUGGAGAAAGACAGUAUAUUAUUUAUAAGGCUGGGCCCAGAAAGCCACUAUCUUCAGUCUUCCAUCCUCCAUAAAAAACAGAAUUUCCUAUUUUAACUAAAUAUUAAAAAUGUUAAACAUACUAACAGAAGGGGUGUGACUGUAACAAAUGAAACCUGUAUGGUCUGAGUCUGACUGUAAUUAUGCCAAAUCUUAGGGGGUGUAACUAAAUUUUUUAUUUUUAUUUUUAUUUUCUGUUACAACCUUGUAACUAGUAUUUUGUAUUAUUUGAUGUCAAUAAUUUUAGAGUCAUUAACUUUCUUCUAUCAAUUUUGUUCAUUAAAUAUCAAAGUCUUACUUGUUAAAAAAUGGACAAAUGUUCGGUGUUUACAAUAUUGUACCAUUUCUCUAAAAGAUACGAGACUUAUUUAUAUUGAUGAAUUUUAAUUUUUAUGUCUAAAAAAAUGAUACAUAAAGUGAUGCAAUAAUGUGAUCCUUCUAGCAAUGUCUUAAAAGAUAAUGAAAUCCAUCUCUUGCGUAAAUGAACAUAAUAUUUGACCAACACAAUUUGGUGAAAGUUUUAUGAUGUGUACAUUUCAAUAUUUCACUUUAGUAAAUUGGCCGAUGUUGUAUCGAUGAUUCCAAUAUGAUGAUGGAGGCUCCACCGUCAUAAAACCUUAUAGAGUCGGAUAUUGGGGUUUAGAAAGCAUAAUUGGACAGCGCCUAUUGAAGAGAAAAAAAAGAAGAAGAAAAGGAUUGAAAGCAACCAAAAAAAAAAAAAAAAACAUCAGUCGAGAAAAACUUAAUUGCAACGCGAUAAUAUUAUUUGCUAUCCUCAACCAACAAGCUACGUUUGUCCUAAAAAAAAAAAAAGCCCUUACUCUACGCUAUGUAUAUACAAAAGAGUGCAAGUUUGCAUGCUCAUCAGCUGCAUUUGGUUUUAUAUGUUUCUCUAUUUCUGUCGAAAAGUAUAUAUUUUUUCUGUUACUUCUCUGUUAAGUGUAUCCAAUGCUUAUUCCAUAUGGAUACUUGUUCUGAAAUCGGUGUUCGUAAACCUAAUCCUAAAUAUGUUUAUCAUGCAUUAGUUUUAUCCUCUACUGAUGAUACUGUUGAGCUUACAUCUUUUUCACACGCUAAUAAGCAUAAGGAGUGGUGUCUUGCCAUAGCAGAUAAGUUUAAAGCUCUCCUUCGUGCUAGGACUUGGACUUUAGUCUCUCAUACUCCCACUACGAAUGUGUUGCCGAACAACUGAUUUUUUCAUGUUAAGCAGAAUUAUGAUGACACUCUUCAGCGUUAUAAGGCUCGCUUGGUGGCCAAUGCCUUUCAUCAGAAGCCGGGCCUUAACUAUGGUGAAAUCUUUAGUCCUGUUGUUAAUCAUUCUACUAUUCACCUUAUCUUGGCUCUUUUUGUGCAGUUUAGUUGGCCCGUUUGUCAGUGGGUGAGAAACUAAAGACAUGUCGUAUGCGGUGCAGGUGCCGGCAGCUGGGCUGAGCACUCAGCCAAUGGCGAACCCAGUGAUGAUGGUCAGCCCAUAGUUCCACGCAACAUACUCGGUGGAUUUGGCGAUCACUGAGAAGAUAAUGAGCUUCAAGGAAGGUGCCUUCACAGUCUCCGAUGUCAACGACAAUCUCAUGUUCAAGAUCAAAGACUCCUUGUUCAGCCUUCACGACUGCAGUGUUUUGAUUGACGGCGCAUACACCCCUAUGUUUCUGCUUUCAUCAAAAUUUUAAACAUAACCAAAAUAGUCAUGGCAUCGACGGAUAAAGAAAUCGCAAUAGGCAUGCUUGAAAACAAUCUCAGUGUGUGUGAGUAACCAUGUGCUCUAAUACCAACUGUUAGAUUUUCUAUAUAAGUGUUCAUGAUCUUUGACAGGACCCGCCCCGAAUUUUCCCAAAACCAGAGACGAAUCCUGUGAAAAUUCUGACAUCACCCCGAUGCCGGGCCCAUUUACUAAGGACCGAGACUUUCUACCGAAAUUUCGGCAGAGUCUCCCUUGUAAAUUGAACAUUUCCCAAAAUUUCAACAUGCAUUAAACACAUUUAAUAUAACCUAACCGGUAGCAUGCACAAUGUAACAACAUGCAAUUCACAUUAACGGCCUUCGGCCUUCCGAUAAUUCGAAGCAAACAACCAACCACGCUAUCAAGUCAAUUAACACCUUAAACAAGACAAACAAUAAAUAAAUUCAAUCACACUUAAGAAUGUCAAAGCAAUCCACUACAUUUAAUUUUCCCAACAUCCAACAUACGAGGUUUUAACCUCCUAACACAAACACAUCUCGUUCUCACUCAAAUAGCAGGACCAACAACAAGGUCUGCAUCAUACUCAAUAAUACACAAGCACUACCCUAGGCUGCCUACGCACCCUUAUUGAGAGAUCAAGUCACACGUAGUUUUUUCUACAAAAUCUUGAUUCCAAUCUCCCCAAUAAUCUCAUAAUUUCCCCAUAUGCUGGAAAUUCCGAUGCCACGUAUGGGGUCUGUCAUCCCGCCUGAAAAUCCUACACCACGGGUGACCUGACAAUCACAUAAUAUCACAAUAUCUCCUCAUACGCCGGAACUACCAACACCACGUAUGGGGCCUGUCUGCACGCCGGAAAAUUCUACGCCACGUGGGACCUCAUCAUCAUAUCACAUAAUCUUCCUAUAAGCUGGAACUACCAACGCCACUUAUGGGGUCUGUCAACACACAGAAUAACCUACGCCACUUGUGACCUCAACAUAAUGUCACAAUAUCUCCUUAUACGCCGGAACUACCAACGCCACGUAUGGGGCCUGUCCGCACGCUGGAAAAUCCUACUCCACGUGGGACCUCAUCAUCAUAUCACAUAAUCUCCCCAUACGCCGGAAUUACCAAUGCCACGUAUGGGGUCUGUCAACACGCCGGAUAACCUACGCCACGUGUGACCUCAACAUAAUAUCACAAUAUCUCCCUAUACGCCGGAACUACCAACGCCACGUAUGGGGCCUGUCCGCACGCCGAAUAACCUAAGCCACGUGGGACCUAACAAUCACAGGGUGGUACUUAGGGUAGUACGUUUAGCACUUCAAACAGAUAUACUCUCAAUUAUCUAAAUUAAUAAUAGAGGUAAUCUCAAUUUAGUGAUACCAGUCUAUAGUAGACUGCAACGUAAUUUAAUCAGGAAAAUAAUGUUAUUUUUAGACCAACGAUCAUGCACAUAAACAUAAAUUUCAUAUGUAACACCCCGACUCCAAAUUUAAUCCCUUAUUUAAAUUAUUUAAGUGAAAUUACAAAUUUACCCUUGGGGUAAGGGUAUUUUGGUCAUUCUCUUAUCUGAAAGGAGUUUGGGGCAGUGACUAAUAUUUUUGGGAAGAUCGUACUGAGAUGAGUCUGUAGACACGUAGUAGGCUCAAUUUGGAGUUAAAACGAAGAUGUUACGAGCAAAACAAGUUCAGUGGCAAAACCGUAAAUAUUUUGAAAUGAGAUUUUUUUAUAAAAAUCAGAUUCUCUCUCUCUCUCUCUCCCUGCACAAAAACAGCCCUCUGUUACUGUUCAUCGCGGUGGUUUUUGGGCCACCACCGUCGUAUCCGGCCACCACUUGGGGUGGCACCGGUCCCAAAAGAACCGUGCCAUCUUCCUCUUCCCAUCCCGACCAAUCUCAGCCACUGGAACCACCUAUGCUCGCCGGAAAAUGCAAAAAUCCGACCGGUUUUAACCCAAAAUUCAAGGAGCUCGAUCUCUCUCCUCCGGCCACCGAUUCAAACGAGUAAGGUAUGGAUUUCUACCUAUUUUCCAUGCUCUAGCUGAUGGUUGAGUAUGAUUGCAUCGAUUUUGAGCGUAGGUAAUUCGAUUUACGAAUUGAAAUUCGGCCGAUUUUGGGAUUGCAAUUACAGCCACUUCCGAUCAGUUUUUGGGGUAGGUCCAAGAACAAAAGUGGCUCCAAAUAGGGUGUUAUACCUAGGGUAGGAGUUUGGAGCCGUGGUUUUGAGAUUUCUCGGUAACGCGUUAUCGCUUUGGGCACCCAGCGCUGCCGGCGCGUGUGGCGGAGUGUGGGCGAGGGUAGUGAAGUGGCACUAUGUCUCGAUGAGAUCCUUAGGUUGUCACGAGUGCGUAGGAUUUCGCGGAUCUCAAUUCGGACGUCGUUUGACUAUCGAACGGAUAUCGCCUAUUGUGCGUUAUCCGAGUUCGAUAGAUUGGGACCGUUGGAUGGUCUUGAAUUUAAUAUAUGUUAAUCUAGGUAUUUUUAGGAUUGUGUAGGAAUUCACGGAUCGUGAAUCGGAGCCUCGGAUGUUCCGAUUUAAUAAUUUAAAGUUUAUGUUUUAUAUUAACCGUCAAAUCGUGCGAUCGUGAGUGAUCUGACCAUCCGAUCUGAGCCAAACUCGCAGGACGAGUGUCCUAUACCUCGUAGAACCCAUAGGAACUUUCGGAUCGGAAUUUGGAGGUCGUGGGCCCAUUUGACCAGGGUUAGGGUAGUUUGACCCUUGGUUGACCGUGAGUCUCCCGGAGUAAUCUCACCUUCCCAGGGGGAUUAUCGGGUGCUAGACUAUUGUCGAGAUUUACACAAUAUUAGAAUUAAUAUAUAUAUUUAUAUACGUUUGUAAAGGUAUAAAAGGAGUCUAGAAUGUCAGUUUGAAGUGCUAUACGCACUACCUUAGGUACCUCCUCGGAUUUUGGUUACACUACAAGCACCACCCUGUGAAAGUUAGGUCCCACGUGGCGUAGGUUAUCCGGCGUGCGGACAGGCCCCAUACGUGGCAUUAGUAGUAUCGGCGUAUAGGGAGAUAUGUGAUAUGAUAUGCAGGUCUUGCUUGGCGUAGGUUAGCCAGUAUGGGGAGAUCUUGUGAUAUUAUGUUGAGGUCGCACGUGACGUAGGUUAUCCAGCGUGUCGACAGACCCCAUACGUGGCGUUGGUUGUACCGGCGUAUGGGAAGAUAUGUGAUAUGAUAUGCAGGUCUCGCGUGGCGUAGGUUAUCCGGCUUUGAGACAGGCCCCAUACGUGGCGUUAGUUGUACCGGCUUAUGGGGAGAUAUUCUGAUAGUAUAGUAUGGUCGCACGUGGCGUAGGUUAUCCGGCUUGUUGACAGGCCCCAUACGUGGCGUUGGUUGUAUCGGUGUAUGGGGAGAUUAUGUGAAAUACAGAGAAAUGAAUAAAGGUAUUACCUAUGUGUGGAAUUGGGUUUUAAGGAAGAACUACGUGUGGCUUGAUCCCUCAGUGAGGGUACGUAGGCAGCCUAAGGUUAUUAGGUGCAGCCGCGGACAUAGAUGUGAUUGUGUUAGGAGGCUAAAACCUCGUAUGUUGAAAUUGAAAAAGUUAGAUGAUGUAUGUUGAAAUUUAGUAGUCAUAUUUUAUAUUUGAAUUUAUCGUUUGCCUUGUUUAAGGCAUGAAUUGAUUUGCUAGCAUGCUUGGUAGUUGAGAAUUAUAGGAAGGCCGAAGGCCGUUUAUGUGAAUUGCAUGAAAUUAUAUUGUGCAUGUUGCCAGUUGUGUUUAUUAAAUGUGUUUUUAUGCAGGUUGUAAUUUUGGGAAAUGUUCAAUUUACAGGGGAGACUCUGCUGAAAUUUCGGCAGAAAGUCUCGUACCUUUAUUCCAUUUUGGGAAAAAUGGUAUAAUUUUAGAAGUGGGCCCGACAUCGGGGUGAUGUCGGGAAUUUUCACAGGAUUCGCCUCGGGUUUUGGGAAAUUCGGGGCGGGUCCUUUCAUCGUAAAGAUCCUAGAACAAUUUAAAUAUUAUUUAACGCUUGUUUUCACAUAAAUUUCAUAAAAUACUUUAUUUAGGAUCAAAUAAUAUUAAUUAAUGAAAAGUAACAACCUCUAAGGAAAAUCCUAAGUAGAAUCAAUUUUCAAUUUAACCUCAAAUAACAAUUUAAAUUCGAUAAAAGGUUAUCCUAAUACCUUCCGAAGGGUGAAACUGCCUCGGAAGACUCAUGGCCAACCGAGGGGUCCAACUACCCCAACUUGGUCCAACGGGCCCACAGGGCCCAUGACCCCCAAAUUCCAAUCCGAAAGUUCCUAUAGGUUCCACAAGAUUUAGGAUACACGUCCUGCAAGUUUGGUCUGGAUCGGACGGUUGGAUCGCUCACGAUCGCACGAUCGGACUGUUAUUAGGAACCUAGCCCUAGGGUUGGCAUUUUCAGAGUAUCCGGGACUCCGUUUUACCAUAUGUCGAAUCUCAUACGAUCCUAAGAAUGUAUAGAUUAACAUAUAUUAAAUUCAAGACUAUCCAACGGUUCAAACCUAUCAAAUCUGGAUAACAUACAAUAGGCGAAAUCCGUUCGGUGUUCGAACGUCAAUCAAAUUGGAAUCUGAGCACACGUACGUGCUCGGGACAACAAGUGGAUUGCAUCAGGACACAAUGACCCUUCUACAGUGCCCACGCGCCGCCACACGCGUUGGUAGUGAGUGAGUGUCCAAAGCGAUUACGCAUAACCAGAAAAUCUCAAAACCACAGCUCAAGACUCCUACCAUAGGUAUAACACCCUAUUUGGAACCACUUUUGUUAUUGAACUUACCCCAAAAACUGACCGAAAGUGGCCGAAAUCUCGAUCCUAAAACCGGUCGAAAUCCAAUUUGAAAAUCAAGCUACCUACGCUAGGAAUUGAUCGAAUCCUACCCAACAGGCAGCUAGAGCAUGAAAAGUAGGUGAGAAAUCAUACCUCAUUCAUCGAAAUUGGUGGCCAGAGGAGGGAGAACGACGUCGGAGAAGUUCGAAUGAAACCAGCCGCUUCUUCUCCAUUUUCUGGCGAAAUUACGACGGCUGGCGGCGGGGCCUGGCUGGGGUUGGAAGAGGAUGGUGGCCCGGUCAUUUUGGUACCGGCCCCGUUGACAUUGGUGGUGGGAUGAGAGAACGGCCGGCCAAAACGUAGCCAGCUGCUGCUGUCGCACAAGAGAGGAGAGAGAGAGAGAGAACCAGAUUUUUAUCAAACCCUUUUUGCAAUAUUUACAAUUAUACCACUGAGGGUAUUUUGAUCGUAUCUCUCUCGUGACAACUCCGAUUCGAGCCCACCACGUGUCUAUGAGCUCGUCUCGCCGUGCUCUACGUAAAGGUACAGUCGAAAUUCUCAAAUUUCUUCCCGGUCAAAAAGUCAACUUUAAACCUAAUAAAAUAUUCUAUGGACAAAAUGGUAUUUUCUCUGAAUAAAUUAGUAUUUACUAAUUUAUUUAGGACUGGGUCGUUACAAUCUUUCAUACAACCUGAAUUAAAUAAAAGACAUACCUGGCGUCAUCUUCCUUGCAUACACAAUUUCAGAACUUAUUCAAUUGCGCAGUAGCAACUUUGGCAAAAGACAUGAACAACUCAGAACUUCUGCUCUCUCACAGAAACUGUUUCAGUUCUCUCUUUAUGAUGAGAUUAGGUUUAGAGAACAUAUCUGACGAGAGCAGGGUCUUAAGCUUAUAUAGGGCUACGUCAAGUCGUCUCUACUCAUCACCGAGGGCCGACUUGAUUAAUACUCUAAGCCCAUCAAACAACGGUUCACGCAGAAAGAAAUAAAUAGGACCCAUUUAAUUGACUUCAAAACUUUCUAUAUUUCACAAAGUCUUGGACUCCAAAAUAUAACCUAAUUUAAUCCCCUAUCAAAUUUGAUAUAAUUUAAUAUCUAAUGCACUGAUUUGAAUUGGAAUAUAACUGCGACCAAUUACGGUGGCAGCCAACUUGGCACCCUUGAGAGAAUAAAAACGCUAAAACGAGGCGGUUGAUUUAAGAACAUUUUGAUGCAAAUGUCGACUAGGUUCUAACUGUUGAGCCCCCCCGUAUUCAAGACGAAGAUACAUACAACAAAAAACUUACAUAGAUUAAAGUUUCUUCCUUUACAACCAACAAGAGAGUGAGAGAGAAAAGAAAAAAGCUUUCUAAAAUAACAAUAUUGGGCUGAGAGCCAACAUUGUGAUGGGCUACCAUUGAAUUUGCCAACAGAGCUUGUUAUUUGUAGAAAUGGCCCCCUCACCCACAAACCCUUAAUUACAAUAUGUUUGAUUUAGGUUUGGAUAUUGGGCUGACAUUUUGUUGGUGAAAAGUUAACAAUUUGUACGUGAGGGAGAAUCAGGAUGUUCAUUCUUCUUUCUUCUUGUGAUACUUUGCGUGGGAAACAUAUUUGGUGGGUUUUUUUUUGUUUUGUUUUUUUAAUCAAAUUGAAACUUCAACGGUACAAUCAAAGACAUCAAUAAGAAAUCUAAAAUACCAAUCUCAAGAGGGCAACAAACUAACGUAUUAAAAGCAAAACUAACGCAGACAAAAGCCGCACUAAAACUGCUAGCCCAUAUCACCACAAUUAGUUAUAAGCCCAAACAAAGCCCACAAACCCAAUAUAACCAAAACCCUAAAUCAACCCAUGCGCCUAAACAAACUCUACCACCACCACCACCUGAAGAAGAGCUGUUGCGGCCAUACCCACCACCGCAUCCAUAACAGAUCUGGAAAAAAUAUGAUUUACAACGAUCUACUUGCGCAUAAGAGUGAACAAAUAAAUGAAAACAAUAACUUUGCCAAAGAACAAUUGGGUGAUUUGCAGCUACCUUGGUCAAAAACGAUGUAGAAUCAAAUUUAAAGAACAUGAGCGGCGUCAGGGAGCGAAUUUUGGGAGUAGGAUUUGAUUGAGAACAUAGAAUAAAAGGAGUGAUGAGGAACUUCAAUCUAACCAUGGCUUAGAAGAAACCACCACAAGAGGCUUUUUAUUCAAACCGCCCCAGUAGACUUAUUCACUAACCUAAAAGGAAAAGACGAUAAGAGAGGAGGAUGAGGAGCAGUGACACUUCUUCCUCCUCCUCCUUUUAUGGAAUUUUUCUUUAAAACUCACAGAAAGGGAGAGCGGCUAGAAUUGGCUACAAACUACAAACUACAAUACCUGUUUGGGCCUAAAUACAAUGUUUUUAUUGUCUGUGGUUACUUGGUCAACAUUACCAGAAGGCAGUUUUUGAAAAUAGAAACUGGGACUUGGGUUUGCUCUUUAUGAUCAUUAUCACUAUUUCAUGAUUUCAAUGAACCACAAGUUUUUUUUUUGGGUGGGAGGGGUUAAAAUAUUAUCUUGGUCACUAUGGAAAAGUAAAAGGACUGGCGUUCCAAAGUGCCUAAAGGAAUAGUUCUUCGGACUUCCUUUGCUUUCUUUUGCUGCAAUGUUGAGAAUUAAAGAGAACCUAUUGUUUUCGUGAAACAUGCAACACCCAACAAAGAAAAAGUAAAAGAAAAGGUAGGAAUAAAGUAUAUGAUCGAGAUGGUGAAAGCUUGAAGCAACCGCGGAAAAAGAUGAAGAUUCUUCAAAAUAAAUAAGGCAUUUUCAUCUUAGAGUAUCUCUAAAGGAGAUGUCAAAUGCAAAAUGUUAAAUUUAAAUUUGAUGGCUUAUGUGGCAAUUUGACACUUUGAAAAAAAUUUAACUCAACCUAAAAUGCCAAAUAUCAUAUUAUUUUAUUAUAUUUUUAAAAGCAAAUGGGAGUAAAAAAUAUUAAAAAAAUAUUAGACAUCAAGCUUUUUGAUAUGUUAUUUUUGACAUCUCUUCCGGCUUUCAAAUCUAUGUAAGAUAAACUACUCGAUUAGAGCAACUUUAACCUUCAAUUUUUAUCAUUUUAUGUCCAUGUGACAAUUUGGCAUAUCAAUUAGAGAUGCUCUAACACACAAAAUUAAACGUUCUCUGGCUUCUUCUAGUAUCCCAAACUUUUUUGUCUCCCAAUUUACACUAAAUUUAGAUCUUCAUCUACAUUCAAUUGCUAAUCGAUGUCUACUGUUCCUUGGGAACGACUGAAAGUAUUUAUUCACAAGCAGAAUCCUAUGGAAAGGUCCUUAGUUUCUCCUUAUACAAUAAUUAAAAAGAAAAAAAACCUUUCAAAAUGGUAAUGGUAUCUGUAAUUAAUGGUGGUAUACGAUAACUUGGAUUCUUAACGGGCUAGCUUGUUUUAAGCCCAUUUAAUAUUUUAUAUAUUUUUAGAGAAAAAUAAUAUAAUAUAAUUAUAUUUAUAUCUUAAAUUAAGUUUAAUUAUUUCAUUUUUAUAAUUAUACACUAGCCUCUUUGCAUGCACUUCUGCGCAUGCGAGAGGCUUUUUUUUAUUUAAAAAAAUUAAAAUUUAUUUUAGAAUUAAAAAAGAUAAUGGGUAGUUGUGUUACAUAAAAAUAUGAUCAACUAUAUGAUUUUUCUUUUAAUUUUAAUUUUUUUAAAAAAAUAUGAAAAAGUGUGAAUUUACCAUAUUAUCCUCAUUUACUUAAUAAUUUUAAUUUUUAAAUGUUUGCAUUACGAAGGGCAUUUUCUGGUAUUUUGAAUGUUUCAUAAUUCUAUGCCUUUUGCUUUAUAUAUAUAGAUUUUAAAAAUCAGUGUUUUCUUUAUAAAAAUGUUAAACAAAUAAAAGGAAGUGUCAUGAGCGCAACAAUCUUUGAAGUGUGCUUAUUAUUUACACCAAAGCAUUGAGAUGCUCUAAACUCGACGAAAUUUCCUGCACUGGAACUCUCUUUACUAUGUUCACACAUGCCAGAGGGGCAUCGUCCCUCUUUGGUUUGCCUAUAUAUAAGUCUAAGCUAGCUCUAGCUCAGCAGAUUGAACAUCGUCAAUAUAUAGUCUGAGGUUUUGUCAAGUCCUUUGCUGAACUGUCAUUUUUUUGUUUACUGAUUUGUUGUCUAUAGAUCAAUUCAGAAGUAAGUUUGCCUAUAUAUAGUGUAAGCGCACACAUAGAUAUACUAGGGAAUUUACGAGCUAGCUCUAGCUCCGCAGAUUGAACAUGGCAGCUUUAGUUUCCCCGAUUAUUUCUACUCUGCAACUUCUUAACCAGCCAAAGCCGUCUCCUGAAGAAGGUAUAUAUAUACUCAUACUGGAUUUACUGGGGUGGUGUUUUUCCAUUUAUUCUUUGUCAAGUUUAUUUGUUGUCGCAUGCAAGUAAAGUCCAGCUGUGAAACAGGGCAUAAUAAUAAUAAUAAUGAUGAGAGCGUUGUGAAUGUGAAGCAUGGUUCUUUGUACGAAAGUUUGAAGUCUGGUGAUUGGAAUGCUGCAAAGGAGUAUAUUGAUCGACACCCCGAGUCACUAACACAUAGAGGUUCAUCAAACGGUGGGACAGCUCUUCACGAGGCAAUCCAGUGGAAGCAGUUACACAUUGUGGAAGAGUUGUUGAAGCUGAUGACAGUAGAGGACUUGGAAAUUGAAGAUGGCUAUGGUUUCACAGCUUUUUUCUGUGCUUUGAUAAGAGGAAUGGCCCCAAUAAUUGCCAGCAUGGUUAAAAAGAACGAGAAUUUAGUUACCAUGCGUUUAACGACCGACUUAGGCAGUAUGACUCCAGUUUUAUACGCUUGUGUUUUGGGCAGCUGGAAAGUAGCUCGCUUUCUCUAUUCUCGCACUCCAAUCCAUGUUUUGACUCAAGACAAUAAUGGCCGCGAAGGCGCUGAACUUAUUUCCCAGUGCUUUUUCCACAGAAAUAAAUUUGGUAAUUUUGACAUCAUUAGUUUCAAAUAUAUAUAUAUAUAUAUAACCAAUUAUAGUAUAUGUUGAUUUGUGGCUGCUUAUUUGAUGAACCAUCUAUACUAUAGAUAUUGGAUGGGAUUUACUUCAGCAUUGCCCAAAAUUGGCCCUUACUGAAAAUUACUUCGGGCACUCCCCUCUAAAUACACUGGUUGAUUUGCGUUCCGCAUUUCCAAGUACAGUUCCUCUCAGAUUUUGGCAACGCUGGAUCUAUAACAGUUAGUAUUUUGUAUUCUCUUCUUUUUUCUCUCGUAUCUCUUCUCUUCGUAGUAUCAAACUAAAUUUUUCGUGUUAAAGUUACCAACUAAAUAUAUGUGUGUGAUUUGAUUUAUUUUGUAUUGCAAGGAUAAUCGAAUUGAGACUGAAAAAAAAAGUAGAUAUUAAUUACAUUAAUACGAAAUGCUUCUAUUUUUUCUCUAUAUAUAUUCAUUAGAUUUCAUUAGAUUUGUUAUGUACAUAUGAAGGAGUGCAAGUCUGAAUAUUCAUUGGCUUUCAUUGUUCACAAGACAGUGUCUUCACACACACACACACACACACACACAUAUAUAUAUAUAUAGAAAUAGAUCUAGAAUAAUACUACUUCAGACAAGUAGGAAAAUGUAUUGAUUGGAUUGUGUUGCUUUCUCUUUAGAUAUACAAGUACAACAACCUCAACCUGCUCCUAUCAACUCUAAUGUUCGUGUAAAUUUUGAAGAACUAGAAGAUGACAAAAGAAAUCGAAGGGAUCUCAUUCCCUCAGGUACGUUACCCAUGUUCAUCAUACACGUACAAUUAGUAUAUAUAGAGUAUAGCAGUCGAAGUAAAAAAGUUCUAUAAGCAUUUUUGUAUGUUUUGCUUUUCUUUUUUAUAAACAUCUACGGAUUUCACAAUGCAGUUACGGGUUUCUUCCAAGGAGUUGUUAAGAAUCUUCUCAAACUGUUAGGUAAGAAUCUUCUCUAGCUACAUCGAACAUUAUUGAUUCUUGGUUUAAUUCUCACUUUUGUAAUACGUUGUAGAUUAAUAUUGUUUUCACUGUUAACCUAGGAAUCCAUGACUUGCAUGAAAUGAGAUUGGGCCAUGACCGAAAUCUUCAAAUUCUACGUCUCGUGUGUGACGUGGUAAAAAGUACAAAUCUUGACUGGAAGAAAACUGCCUUCGUGAAAAAGGCAAUCCUCCGAGCAGUAGAAGGAGGACAAGUGGAGUUUAUCAAGGAGAUGUGUAAGGCGAAACCAAGAUUACUACUAACGCCGAUGGAUGAAACAGGCAGAUCAAUAUUUCAUUAUGCCGUUGAAUGUCGGCAAGAAAAAGUUUAUAAUCUUAUAUAUGGGAUCAGCGAAUAUGAUAGGAAUGCUAUCUUAGUGUGUGCAGAUAGGUCUAACAAUACUAUCCUACAUGCAGCAGGGAGUUUAUCUGCACAUCUUAAUCAUAUUCAAGGUGCAGCUUUGCAAAUGCAAAGAGAGCUACAAUGGUUCAAGGUCAGAUUUUCUCACUUUAUUACAUAUACGUAACCUUAGACAAUUACUUUGUUACAUAUAUACGUAUAGGCUAUAUAUGUGAUGUGAGUUUUCUAAAUGAAAUGUAGGAGGUAGAGAGUAUUGUACCCUCGCCGGCCUUAGAAGUUAUAAAUGUUAAUGAGAAAAUGACAGCACGAGAAGUAUUCACCAAGAACCACAAAGAAUUGGUGAAGGAAGGAGAAGAGUCGAUGAAAGGGACAGCAACUUCUUGCACAUUUGUAGGUGCCCUCAUUCUUACCAUUAUGUUUGCUGCUGCAUUUAUAGUUCCUGGUGGAAGCAAUCAAGAUACAGGUUUUCCCAUCUUCUUAAGAAAGAAGUUAUUUAGGGUUUUUAUAAUUUCAGAUUCUAUAUCACUCUUUUCUUCGACGACAUCAGUGAUGAUAUUCUUGGGAAUUCUCACAUCACGUUAUGCAGAAAAUGAUUUCCUCUGGUCUUUGCCCACGAAAAUGAUAUUAGGCCUUUUCACCCUUUUUUUAUCUAUCGCCACUAUGAUGGUUGCUUUUUUUUCAACUAUUCUUAUUAUGCUUGAGGGAGAAUCAUGGGUAUUUAUUCCAAUCAUUUUGCUUGCUAGCGUUCCAACAAGCUCGUUUGUGUGGAUGCAAUUCCCCCUGUUUCUUGACAUUUUUAUGUUUACCUAUGGAAGAGCAAUAUUUGACAAGAAAUGCGGAGCUUGGGAAUAAAAUCAUGAUUAUGCGGUGUGAUGUUUGUCUUAUGAUGUCAUAUGAUGUUUGUCUUUGGCUUUGUCACUUUUUAUGAAACAUGUAAAGAAAACACAAUGUACUUGUGUGGUUCUAUAUAUAUACAUACAUAUAUCUAUUUCGUUGAAAUAAAACCAUCAUUAUAAUUGACUUUUGUUUGAUGCAUACAUUUUUGUUUGAAUGCUUUAUGAAUUAUGUAAUUGGUUCUCAUAAAAUUUUAACACGCUAAGAACCAAUUAGAAAAUAACAAGUGGCAAGUUUUGAGUUUUUCUCUCCAAAUAGGCUCUAUAUGAAUUUUUGUAUAAUAUGUCCUGUUAACAUGGGUUUUUGAAUAAAAAAAAUUUUGGGGCCUUAAAUGGGUUAUAGAUUGUUGUUUAUGUAUCCUCUUUCGUGAAUAAAAAUUAAAAUCAUUCACUGGCCAAAAUAAGUAUAUAUUUCUAAGGCUAGGUUUCAAGACUUGGUCUAUUUUGAACUGUUCUGAAAAGAUUAAAAGUAUUUUAUGGCAACUAAAAGUAUUUUUGAUAAUAUUUGAGAGAAAAACUUAAAAGUGCUUCUUCGGUAAGAACUUGAAUUUGCUUUCAAACUUCCAACAAUACCCCACAUUUGAAAUGCAAAAUUUUUUUAGACAAAUAUAUGCAGACUCAACACUGGAGAGGAAAUUAGAUAAAAUACACAUCAGGAUAAGUGUCUUUUGGACUUGGACCUGCUAAAGGCACACACACAUGAUGAAAGCCCACGUCUUCACACAUCAUCUACCACUCCACAUCUAUCUAAGUUGAACUCCAUUUUGAGCAUCAACAAUACUAAACAUUUUUAUAUACAUAUAUUUUUUUUGUACAGUUCUAAACAUUUUUAUAUUUGAUUGAUACGUACACCCAACAAUAAUCUUUUUGGCCUAACUCCCAAAAAUAAUUGAAACGAAGCAAAUUAUGUCAUUUUGUUCCAAAUAACUCUAAUAAUCCUUGUCAGCAGUCUCGCCAGCAGUUUGAAAAUUUCAUAAUCUUAAAAGAAUCAGACAUAAUUAAAGACUUCAGAUAAAAAUAAGCAUAAUUAAAGACCUCAGAUUAAAACAAAAACAAAAAAACACAAGUAGACUCAUAAUUUGGUUAAUCAUGCAUCUCUUGCGUUAUUUUAGUCACAAGUUGUUUGAUUUUCUUUUGUAAGCAAAAGGUGUUUGAAUUGGAACGCUUCACAUUCUUCUCUUGGAUGGUAAAGAAAACAUCACAUAAUCUUCCGGAAUAGAUUGGAUGUGAGAUUUUUCUUUCAUUCAACCCAAGUGUUCGGUGAAUUUUGGUUUUGAUUACUUAAUUAUACCUAAAAAUAUACAUACCUAAUUAAAUCACCAAAAUGAAUCUUUCAAAACCGAACAGGGUUUUAGAAAUACCUUCCAAAAUCUUUCUGAAUUUCGAUAUCCAAUCCGUUUUAGGAAACUCGGAAUUUUCAGAAUUUUUGAAAAAUAGUUCAAAAUUUUAAACAUGCCUAACCAUUUGAAUUGUUAAAAUUGGCUCAAAAUUUAGAACUCAUAUUGAAUGUUUGAAAAACUCGAAUACUUGGAUGUUGUUAUCAUUUAUGAAAUAACUUGUCUAUAUCUAUUUUGUCAUCAAAUUAUAUUUAGUUUAACAUGAAAGUAGUAAUUGUAUGUAGUCUAAGCUUGAAACCUCAAUAUAUUUUGGAAUUCGGAAAUUUUCGGAAUCUCGAGAUACAUUCCAAUUUCAAUCCAACUUUUUUUUGGAAUUUUUGGAUAUCAGAAUUGAUUUGGACUUGCCAAAAUUGGAAAUUUAAUUUCUGAUUGGAAUUGGUCGAAAUCGGAUUUUCCAGUCCAACUUGCACCCUUAGCCUAGACCUUUGAUGUUCUCCCAAGUGGUCCUGGGUUCAAGUUCUCAUAAUACUCAUGUGUGUGAGUUUCCCUCUCUCUAUUCCUAACUUUGGCCAAAAAAAAAAAACCACCAAAAUGAAAAUAUAAUCUAAUAUCUAGUGAAAAGAAGAUGUCAAUAUAAAUUUUUUUAUCUUUUAUUUAUUAAAUAAUUCGUUUCUCUAUUUGACAAGGUUUAUUUCUAUCCUUUUAGGGAAUAAUAUCACUAAAUAUCCCCUUAGAUUAUAUUAGUAUACAAGGUGUACUACUGUAGUAUUAUAUAAUUACUCCUUUCUAACUUUGACAACAACAAAAAAACUCAAUAAUGGUCAAGGUGCUCGUUCAGUGUACCUUCCUUAAUAUCCUUCCCACCAAAGAAUGUUUGCUUAGUAAGGGUGUUCAAGGGGAUAUUGGUGAUUGUGUCCUGUGCGGCGCUCGGGCGGAGACACUUCAUCACGUUUUUUUUGGAUUGCUCCUUCUCAGCUUUAAUUUGGCAGAACAGCCCUUCGCAGAGUGACUUGCGGGAGCGCGAUUCACAGGACCUUAUUGGAUGGCUAGAACAGAUUCUGUUGGGUGGGGAUUGUCAUAAAAUUGAGCUUCUGUUUAUGAUCAUGUGGAACCUCUGGAAUGAGCGCAACACUGUUGUCUGGACAGCAAAACGUCGAAGCCCCUGUGAAGUUGUGGAUGGUGCUGUGCGGUUGUUUUAUGAAUUCGAAGAGCAUCAGCCUACCCCGUCAAUGUCUAUUUCUCGAGCUAAGGCAAAAUGGCAAAAACCUCCUCUGAGUGCCGUUAAGAUCAAUGUUGAUGGGGCUUUUCAGGUGCAAACUGGCAUUAGGGGUGGGGGAUUAUUGCUCGUGAUUCUGCUGGAUGCUUUGUGGCUGCACGUGCAUGCGAGUUCAGCCAUAUUUCUUCCCCGGAACAUGCUGAAACUCUCCCCUCCGCGAGGCCCUCCUCUUUGCCAAAGACUUUGGCCCGGGUCCUAAGCUGAUUGAGAGUGAUGCACAAGGCGUGCUUCAGUCUGUUCAAGCUACGAUGGAGGAUAGAUCCCAGUUUAGCUGUUUGUUAUCCGAUUGCAAGUUUUUACUUUCCCAGUUAAGAAUAUUUCCAUUCAGUUUGAUUACAGAGAAACUAAUUGAGCGGCACACCGCCUAGCUCGUUUGGCACUCACCUUACCAGAAACAUUAUCGUGGCAUCAGGCCCCUUGAUGCUGUGUGUGAUGUUUUGGUGGAGGAUAGUAUGUUACCUUUGCUUUAUCUUCAAUGAAAUCGCUUUUUCUCACCCAAAAAAAAAAAAAAAAAAAAAAAAAACGCAAUAAUGAGAUUCCUGUCCAAAUUCAAAUUUCCAUUACUAGACAACUAAAAUUGUAUUAAUUAGACAUAUCAACUGCAGUGGCACACGACAAAUUAUAAGAGCUAUACUCUAUUAAAUUGUAAUCAUCGAUGAGAUUUCCAGGUCAGCCCUUGAGACACCUUUUGCGACUUGGAGUGUUCUUAUAUGUCUUUUGCCUAAUCUAUUUCUUUUUUAAUUAAUUUCUGAUUUGUUAUUAUAAACAAACAUAACGAAAACAUACAUUAUUGUAUGUCUUUUUUUUGAACGAAACAUUAUUGUUUGUCUAUAAAUUAGAAGUUUGGCUACUGCAUUUGGAUGCACAUAGUGGAAUUUAUAAGCUCCAUCCUUUUGAAGAUUUUCCCAAUUCAGUUUGUGAGUAGUUAUACUUUGCUUCACUUCACUAUUCUCUUUUCUUUUGUCACAAUUUUUCCUUUUCUUGUUAAAAACAUUUGACUGUUUAUUUUUGGUAUUUACUACUUAUAAUAGUGUGGGCAAUAGAUUCUUGGCAUAAUUUAAAGGCUUAAGUGCAAUAGUGUCUCCUGAAAUAUUGGUCAAUUCCCACUAAACCCCCUUAAAGUUAAAGUGACCCACUUUGCCCCAUUGACCAUUGUUUUGUGUCUCACUUUGCCCCUCACGGUCAAGUUUGUUAAAAACUCCGUUAAAAAUGUUGACGUGGCACCAAUAGGACCCACUAUUUUGCUAAACUAAGUGCCAUGUGUGAAGGAAAAAAAAAUUAAUAUAAAAAAGUCUUUUAAAAAACUUAAAUUAACUAUUAAAAAUAAAACUAAUACUUUAAAACCAAAAAAUCCCCAAUUCCCCUCCUUCAACUCCAUUGAGUUAAACCUAAUAAAAGUUAAGAAUCAUUUGCACUAAUACCCCCUGAGAGUUUUGGUGUUUUCAAAAAUCCCCUGAGGUUUUAAAAAUUACAUAAACACCCCCUUAGGUCUUAAAUUGUUUUCACAAAAUCCAUUUUCAUUGAUUUUUCAUCAAAAGAUUAAUGAUUUUAUAUAUAAAAAAUUCUUAAAAUGACAAAGUUAGCCCUUGAGAUUAGAUUGCAUAUACAUUUAUUGAGGUUGAUUUUGUUAUUUGCAAAAGUUUUUAUGUAUGAAAUCAUCAAAUUUUGGAUAAAGAAUCAAUGGAAAAGGGUUUUGUGAAAACAAAUUGAAACCUUAGGGGGUGUUUAUAUAAUUUUUGAAACCUUAGGGAGUCUUAUGAAAACAUUAAAAACCACAAGGGCUGUUAGUGUAAAUAACUCAAAAAGUUUUGACAUCUCUAGCAUUUUGGUCGCUUUGAAUUUUGUCUUAGAGAAUUAUUUAUUCCUUCUCCUUUCACCCUUAUUGUACAUAUUGCAUGGAAUUUAGGCCCAGUUUGGGAUUGCUGUCACUUUUAAAAAAAGUUGUUUAUGCUGUGCUUUGAAAAUAAUUAGCUGUAAAGUAAAGCAGCUCCAUGUUUGGUAAAAAAUAUUUUUAAAGUGCUGUUAGUACAAAAAGCAGUGUCAAUACCGUUUGGUAAAUUUUAAUAUAAAAUUAUUGUAACUGUGAAUAAUGACUAAAAUAGACAUGAUGUUAAAAGUGUUAUGUACUAAUCAUGUGGUGGUAGUGGAGAUAGUGGUGGUGAUGAAGGUGGAGUUGGUGGUUGUAGUAGUGGUGGUGGUGGGGAUGGCGAUUGUGGAGGUGGUGGUUGUGGUGGUAGUGGCAGCAUGGUGGUGGUUGUGGAGGUGGUAGUUGAUGUGGAGGUUUUGGAGCAGGAGGUGGUGGUGGUGGUAGUGUUGGUGGUGGUGGUGGUGGUGGUUGUGGUGGUGGUAGUGGUGGUGGAGGUGGAGGUGGAGGUGGAGGUGGAGGAGGUGGUGGUGGCUGUGGUUGUGGAGGUAGUGAAUGUGGUGGUGUAAGUGGUGGAGUUGGAUGUAGAAGUGGAGGUGGUGUCAUUUUUUAAAAUGAAUGCUGGUAUUUUGGGAAUUAAAAAAAUUCAUUAAAAGUUCAUCUCUGCUUCUUUUGAAAGCAGCUUUGAAAAGUAACUUAGAACCUGCUUUUAAAAACUGCUGUCAAAAGACCACUGUUUUAAAAAUAAUCAGAAUAUUUUAUUUUUACCAAACACCUUAAACUGCUUAACUUUAAAGUGAAUGAGGUUUUUGGCAAAAAAAAAGCAAUCCCAAACGGGGCCUUAAUUCAGCGUCAUCCAAUCUUGGCUUUUACUAGAGACUAUUAAGGGCAUUAUCCUAUCAAUGCAUUGGCUAGUGCAUGCUCUGCAUUUCUAGGUGGAAUGCGACUCAAUUUAUGGCAACAAUGGAUCUAUGACAAUUAGUACUACUUGUCCUGUAAAAUUAGCUUACAUCAUAUAAAAGUCAAAUAAAGUAGGGUAAAUAUUCAUUUAUGCUCGGAUAUGCUCAUAUUUGCUCACCUUCUCAUUCUUCUCCAAUAUGGAGGUAUUCAUAUUUGCUCAGAUAUGCUCAAAAUCCCUUGCUUCUUAUUAAGUAUCCAUCGAAUUCCAACACCAUAUCCUCGAACUCGAUUGCGUUUCUUAAGACCAAAUCGUUCUACAUACAACUUAUUUCGAACAUGAGCAGUCACCUCACGCUCUGCAUCUCACUCCCUUUGUUCAAGUUUCUCCAACUCAUCCUAUGCCAAAAACCCUAGCAUCAAACAUAAAUCUUGCAUUGGAUGCUAAUGAGCAGUCACAAGAAUUAUUUGCGGAUGUCCAUUUACUUUUGCCUAAUUUUUAUAAUAAGCAUUUUUACUACAAUAGAGCUGGUAAGUCAAAGAAAACAGGUGGCAUAAUACACAAAGGGAGCAAAACAUAUGUACAAAGACAAAUCAGCUGGUCUUCAGCCAUGCAAACCAUUCCAAUACGCAAACAACAAACAAAUAAACCCAUUUUCCAUUUCAUUUAUUCAGGCUACUCAUCAGCAGCUUUGGUUUUCUGCAGCUUUUAUAUAUAUAUAUAUAUAUUAUAUGGUUAGUCCUCGAACAAAAUAAAGAGAAAUAAAAAUUCAACUAAGGCUCAAACUAUUAAACAAUUACUUUCCAAAUAUUAAGCUUGGAAGCUGAACUUACAAAUUCUUUUGCUGCUUCAUCAUUAAUUGGCUUUGGAAAUAGGAUUCUUCUUAGUGUAAAUAAGCCUAAAAAAUGUGCACCGGUCCAGUACUUCAGGAGGUGACUAAGUUGCUGCAUUACAUACAAUCCAUACAUUAUACACAACAUACAUAAGUUGAUAUAAUACUUUAUUGGGGUCCAUAUUUCAACUAAUGUUCUUGUAGUUUCUGUAGUAAUAUAUUUUUAACUUUACCAUAAAGGACAUGCUGCUUGUGUCCUAAAUCCUAAUGAUAUCCAUGAAAAAAAUUAAAUAUUGAUCACUGUAAAUUAUUGACCAACACUAUUUCAUAACAUCUGCAUCCCUAUAAAAUUUCAUGAUAAACAUAUAUUCAAAGUGCUAUAUUAGUUAGUUAGGCUAUAAAAUAUGAGCAUUGAGAAUAAUAGAAUCAAUAUGUUUUGCGACCUGAAAUUUUAAUUCAUCCUGUGCAAAUACAAAGCUAGGUGACAUUCAAUCAACUUGACUCAAUUAAAUUUUAAAUAAAACAAUUUGUAAUGUCAAGUUCCAGUAGAGAGAAAAUUGAGAUAUAAUAGAGACAGAACAUUUUAAUUAUAUUUGUGAAAAAUUCAGAGAGAGAAACACAAGUUAAAAGAACAAAAAAGGCAAAACUGAACAAGAAUUUGACAAACUUCUUAAAUUUGAGCUAUUAUUUUUUAAAUACAUGCAUUUCAGUAACAUGUACUGCACUGCACACUUCUCCACUUAUGUCAAUUCAAACCCUGGCAUAGCAGACAAGCUCUACUAGAAAACACUAAAUCUUUCUUUUAGUCAAUCACUGACUGUAUGCAUAAUGCAAAGACUUUUUAUCACAAGACGUCCCUGACGUUUGCGAAACUAUCAAAUUGCAUCCUUAAAGUUUUUUUGUAUCACUCAUGGUCCCUAACGUUAAUAUAUGUACUCUUAAAUAGUCUCUCUGUCAAAAAAACUGUUAAAUCUAUGAAUAUAAUCGUCAAAUCAAUCCAAAAUUAUAAAAUGUAUAUAUAUUUUAUUCCUUCCCUUCUCUCUUUCUUUUUAGUUCUUCUUUCUCUCCGCCAAAUUCCUUAUCUCUUCUUUCUCUGUUUCUCUUUUUUCCCCCUAUCCUCUGUCACUCUCUCCUUUUUCUUCUUUCCUAGCAGCGGUCAACUAAUACAAAAGAAGACAAAUACAAUAUUACAGUGGGGUUUUUUUGUUAUCUUUUUUCUUCGGGCCACGGGGGAGAAAUAAGGGGAUUUUGGGGAGCGAAUGGGUCUGUGUCUCUGGAUUUUUUUGUUCUCUUUUUCUACAGCUUUUUUCCAAAAUAAAAAUAAAAAUUGAACACAGGUAGAAGAAGAGGCCAAUAGAAGCCGACGUAGUGACUUUUUGCCCCAAACCAACCCCAGCACAUUGCAGCCAAAUCAUUCUCAGAGAACGAAGAUAAAAAAAUGAAAGAUAGAGGAAAGAGAGAGAGAGAAGAGAUACAAGAGCAAAGAAUUACAUCAAAUAGGGGAAAACUUUUUUAAAAACACUAAAUUGCAGACCUUGCAGCUUUUGGUGUUGUGGAACCAGAAAUGGAGAGGAUGGCCGUACUCUUUUCUUCACUGAAGAGUGAAGUUAGUAUCAAUCUAAGAUAUACAUAUGCAGAAAUCCACUAAGCAGUUAUUUCUACAUUGAAGACAUCCUUAAAAAUCAGAUCUAGUAAAUAAAAAUUCAUCUCAAAAGUUUUAUUAACAAUCUAGUUAUGCUCAAAUAGAUGAUCUCCAAAUUUAAUCAACAGUGUGAUGAUUUCUAAUCACUAAGUCGCCAACAAAGAAAAUUAUAGUUGGAAUAUAAUAUAGCCUGUGGUUGUCACUGCUGCGAAGCUCUGGACUGAGGACAUAGUGGAUUAUCAAGUCUGCAUGCAGGUUUAGCCUAGUUUUCCAGCUGAGAGAAGAAGAAAAAAAUCACCCAUGACAAGAGGAAGAAGAAAAAAGAGAGAGAGAGAGAGAGAGAGAGAGAGAGAGGAAAGAAGAAGAAUAGAUAUCUGGCGGAGAGAAAGAAGAAGAUGAAAGAAAGAGAGAAGGGAAUAAAAUAAAAUAAAUAUAUUUUAUAAUUUUUUAUUGAUUUGACUAUUAUAUUUCUGGAUUUAACAGUUUUUUUGACAGAUUGACUAUUUAAGAGCACCCAUAUUAACGUUAGGGACCACGAGUGAUACAAAAAAACUUUAAGAAUGCAAUCUGAUAGUUUCAUAAACGUCAGGGACGUUUUGUGAAAAAAAGCCUAAUGCAAAUGAUCACUACACAGAAGAACAUCAUAUAUAGGCCAUGUGAAUUAAGAUAGUUGAUUAGAGCAAUGCGUUCAUUCUCUUGUGACUAGAUUUGAAUCCCCUGUCCCUAAUUAAUUAGAGUAGUUUAGCUCAUGACAUUUUAAGACAGUAAAAACAAAACUAGAACAAAUGCAUUUAAUUCAUUCGAACAGUAUAAUUGGCAUAACAAUAGCAUUCGAUUACAUUUAACACAGAUUAAAGCACUCUGCUAGCGUCAUAUUGGAACCUAAAUUCUUUGUACAUAUACUACUCCUUUUCUUUUCUUUUUUCUUUUUUUGGUCAAGUACAUAUUCUACUCCCAUUAUAUCAUAUUUUGGGUUUUUUGACCCUGAAGGUAUAACUUUUAUCCAACCAAAUUGAAAUAGGAAAUUAUUCUCAGUUUAUACAUAAAAAUUAUUAGCUUUUCAUGGGUUUUAAACAUUUUUUUUUUCUUUAUAUGUUAUAUCUAACAUCCAUAGGACUCCAAGCUAACCUAAUAACACCCCUAAAUGCCCAUAUCUAUGUACUGAAUUCAUUCUAUACCACUUUCCUUUCCAAUCUUUAGGAUAAAUCUCUUCAAAGAUAAUAGAUUGUCUCACUCUUUCACUCAGUCUCCAAGAUAUAAAUUAAAAAAUUAAAAAAAACCUACUUUGGGUUGUUGAGAGAAGCUUCAAGAUGACCCACCCAGAACUACGGCUGCAUGUCAAGUCUUCCGAUGUUGAUGUGGGAGUCUGAUGCAGCAGUUCAAAGCACCAUUACAAUCAUCGGAAAAAUUGAUUUAUUACCAAGGAAUAUUAUAACUCAAAUAUGGAAACAAAAUUAAAAUUGUUUAAUAACCAUGUGUAGAAGAUCAACCGAGGGAUACUGUAACUCAAAUCUGGAAACAAAACAAUAAAUCAAUCAAUUUUCCUAAAUAAUUAUAAUGAUAUGAAAAAUAGAGGCCCCAAAAGCAAAACACAAAAACAAAAAACAGAAAACCUAAAAUCAAUCUCGUUUGAUUUACCAAAGUUAAUUGAACAAACCACACAUAUUCAAAACCCAAUAUCCCAAUGCUUGAAUUCAACUAUUAUUUUCAUCGACACUAAUAAAUCAAACCAUAAUAUGCCAUCAUACCUAUAAUUUCCACAAAUGCAAAAAUUAAAAAGAAGCCACACACACAAAUGAAAAGUAACGAUGAAAUUGAGCAUUGAAAUUACGUACUGAUUCUGUAUUCUACAGUGGUAUGUAUAACGUGAUUUCAAUCCUCUCUUCAAGCAGUGAGAAGUCGAUGGGUCUUCAAGCACGAACAAGUCGGUGGGUCUUCAAAGACUGAGAAGAGGAUGGGUUGGCGAAGAUGAGUGAGGAAGGUUGAGAAGAGAAGGACCGGGAAAUAAAAUGUUAUUGGGGGGUAAAUCUAAUGUUUUUGUGCACUAAAAGACGGUGACGAAUAGCACUAGCCACGGAAGAACAAUGACUAAUAUGAUUAAGGACUGGAGACAGUCUCUAAUACAUUGAGGGAUUUUGUCAUUGUUUUUUAUAUCCGUGCCUAAUGGAAAAUUAAGUACAUUCGUUUCCCAAUAUAGGGCGGUUUUAUGUCCAUUAAUUUAAAAUACGGAUACUAAUAACAAUAGGGACUGUUUUGUGUCUCUAUUAUUGCAAUAGGGACGGUUUUGUGUCCCUUGAUGUUUAUAGGGAUGAUUUAGUAUAAAUCUGUGCCAAAAAGCAGUUUUGACGGACUGUUUGUCUAUCAUUCUCUAAAAAAAGGGUCUUUAUUGCCCAAAUUUCUAGUAGUGAGAAAACACUAAAAUUACAACCAUUAAUAGAGUUGUCAGAUGAUUUCGAAUUCAAGUGAAUUUUUACAGGGAUGAUAUUUAAAAUAAUACUUUCAAAAAAUAGAAUGUUUGGAUUAUGAAAAUAUAGUGCAGAAUAAAUCCUAUAAGGGUGUCAUUUAAAUAAAUUUAUUUGAGGUAUUUGUUAACUGAAGCUUAUAUAUAUGUUUUAUUUAGACUUGUACAAUCAAUUAUUCAAACAUGCACUUCAACAACCACGAAUAUGUCGACCUUGCAUAGUACCAACAUGGGGAAAAUAGAACACAAAAGGUAAUCAUAAGAUAUGUAUUUAAUUACAAGUAGCAAUAGGAACUGCUCAAGGAUUCGUAGGAUGAGAUAAAGAUUUUUUCGGUAACAUCUCUAAAUUUUAGUUUAAUGAAACGCAGGUGGUGGAGAGUAUUGUACCUCCCAACGUUCUUGAACUUACCAAUUCUACCAAUGGUAUGACAGCACAAAAACUAUUUAGCAAGAACCACAAAGAUUUGGUGAAGGAGGGAGAAAGAUCAAUGAAAGACACAGCAACUUCGUGUACAGUUGCCGGUGCUCUCAUUGUUACAAUGAUGUUUGGUGCAGCAUUUACAGUUCCUGGAGGAAUCCGAGGAGAUACAAGUUUUCUAAUGUUCUUGAAAAAACCAUUGUUUACGGUUUUUAUAAUCUCAGAUUCCGUAUCACUCUUUUCUUCCACAACUUCAGUCAUGAUAUUUCUGGGAAUCCUAACCUCACGUUACGCAGGAGAAGAUUUCCUCAAAUCCUUGCCCACAAAAACGAUAUUAGGCCUUUCCACCCUUUUCUUCUCUAUCGCCAGUAUGAUGAUUGCCUUUUUCUUGUGCCCUGGUCAUUAUGCUUGAUAGAAAAUUAUGGAUUGUUAUUCCAAUUAUUUUACUGGCCAGUGUUCCAAUCACCUUAUUUGGAUUGAUGCAAUUUCCCCUCCUUGCUGAGAUUUCUAUUUCUACUUAUUUAAGAAAAAUGUUUGACACAAGAAAAUCAAACGCCGAUACUAAAUUCUUGAUGCUGUGUAAUUUAAUGGUUUUUUCCCUUUUUAUGACAUGUGAUGCUGGCAUCUAUAUGAGCAAAAGACAAUGUACGAAUUUCGUUUCUACAAGCAAAGUCCAACUGCUAUUUCUAUUUCGUUGAAUAUUUUUAGUUGAAUGUAAUGAUUCGUUAAUUGUUAAUCACAAAUUGAAUAAUUAAUAAUGAUUCCAACUCUUCCCUCGCAACUUCCUAAUUCAAUCAGGGAUAGAGAUUCAUUAGCCCAAAAUUUAGAAUUAGGGAACCUUGUGUGUAUGAAGAUGUCUUUAAAGACCCAAAAGUUUUUAAAAGGGUGUCUAAGUCGUGACCCAAUAUAGAGACCACCACUACUGCUCUUAAAAACUCUUAUUGAGGUCUUUUUGCGAGGCAACUGUUUUGAAGUGGGGUUGCUAAAAUGUACGGACCGAAGGAGGGCCGUGGAUGCUCGUGAUAUAAGUCGGUUCGUCAUGUUAACUUAAGUGAUCAAUCUUGGUCUUCCACGUCUUGUCAGUUAAGAGUCUAUAUUAAGAAAUAAAGAAAUAGUUUUUUAUGCUUCUGUUGGCUCUGUUUUGACUCUCAUUGUUAUGUCAUGUACAAAGAACUAUGCUAUGUAUGCAUACGAGGGUUUUUUUUUGACAGUUUUACAUUGUGGAGUUUACAUGCAGGUUUUGGGUUGAGUUGGGGUGCUUAUCUUUUAUUUUGCCAAUUUUAAGAAGCUUCUAUGAAUUAUGUAAGCAAAAUAUAUUGUUAAUUUUCUUGGAGAUGAUACUGUUAGCAUCUUUCUCUGUUUUUGGUGUAGUUGAAAUUCGGUUUUGUAACGACCACAAGCAACUAGUAGGGUGCCACAUUGUCAACAGAUUUUUCUUUUCCUCUUCUAUACUAGAAACUCUGAAAGAAAAGGAAAAAGCUUACUAAAAUAACAAUAAUGGGCUGUUCAUGGGCUGACAUGCCCAACAUAAUAAUGGCCCACUAAUGAUUUUGCCAACAGAGCGAAAUAGGAAAAAAAAAAAUGGUUUUGGAUAUUGGUCUAACAUUUUGUUGGUGUGAGAAUCAGGAUGUUCAUUUUUCUGUUUUUCUUUUUUUUGUGACGCUUUUCAUGGGAAACAUGUUUGGUGGUGACUUGGUCAACAUUACCAGAAGAGAGUUUUGAAAAAAUAGAAACUGGGACAUGGGUUUGCUCUUUAUGAUCACUAUCACUAUUUCAUGAUUUCAAUGAACCAAAGUUUAUUGCUCUUAUACUGCACCAUGAAUUAUAUAUAGCGAAUGGUUCUUUGGAUUUCUUGCUUUCUCUUGCAGCAAUGUUGAGAAUUAAAGAGAAUCUAUUGUUUUCUUUUCAAAAAGAAAAAAGAAAAAAGAAAACCUAUGUUGUAAUGAAAGUGGUGAAGCCCACACAAAAAAGAAGAAGGAAGUAAUAGUCAAAAGCUUAAUGAUGAUGUUGGGAGCUUAGUCAAAAGCUUAAUGAUGAUGUUGGGCAAUGAAGCCAUCCAAUUUUCCUAUAAAUAGGCUUGCUCAUUCAAUUGUAGAACACACCAAAGGAAAAGAGAGGAAAGAAAGGAAGAGAAGAAAGGAAGAGUGAGAGGAAACAAAAGAGAGUGAGUUUUAUCUGAGAGGAAAUUCUGUCAGUGUAAACAUCACAAGAGCAAAUACAAUUCUAUUCCCAAUAUUCAGUGGUACUUUUCAUACUCUAUUAUUUUAUUUUUAUAACAAGUUAUCAGCACGAUAGUCUUUCUCAUUUACUUCUAAAUUUUCCCAGCUCAAGACUAUGUGGUUAUUUCUCUGUCUCCUCUCUGUCAUAUGUCUCUUCUCACUUUACUACUACAAUGACAUGCAAACUUUCUUUUUUCGUAUUCUCACAAUUUUUAUGUUACUUCAUCCAUGUUUAUUUAAUUUAUUUUUUCAUAUUCUCACAAUUUUUAUGUUACUUCAUCCAUGUUUAUUAAUUUAUUUUUUCGUACUGUAAUUUGGAAUGGUGUUGUUUUAUACUCCAUCCUGUUAUUUUAUGGUGGUGUAAUUUCAUUACCCAUCACGUUGUAACACAUAUUAUCGCAAUAAAAAUGAUGGUGUGAUCUUAAAACUCAUCUUAUUAUAUCUUGAAUAGUGGCGCAAUUAUAUUGUCCACAAUAUAUAAUAUGUUAUAUACUUCAUAUAUAUUAGGUGGUGGUUUUAUCCCCGCAUUUACUUUAUUUACUGUAUAGUGUAGAUUUAUUAUCCAUACAGCAGUAUUUAUUUAAAAGUGUGGCGCGGGUUUAUCGUCCACACAACUGCCUUUAACAUUUACUUUAUUUACUGUAUGGUGUAGGUUUGUUACCCACACAGUAGUAUUUAUUUAAAAGUGUGGCGCGGGUUUAUCGUCCACACAAUUGUCUUUACUUUUUAUUUAAAAGUAUGGAGUAGAAUUAGUGCCCAUACAGCAAAUUUACUUUAUCGUACAUUUACUUUAUUACUUAAAGUAUGGUGCGGGAUUAACGUCCAUACAUGAAGCAAUUUAAUUUAUGAAUUUAUUUUACCACACAUUUACAUUUAUUUAAAGUAUGUGGUCGAAUUAUCGUCCAUACUAGCAAGUAAUUUACCUUAUGAAUUUACUUUAUCGCAUAUUUAUUUUUAUUUAAAGUAUGGUGCGGAAUUAACGUCCAUACAGCAAACAAUUUAUUUUAUGAAUUAAUUAUGAAGUAUGAUGAGUUUUAUAGUAUACAGAGAUUAGGACCAGAAAUUCCUUGAUCCUCAUCAUACAACUACAUCAGGACCUGAAGAUCCUUGAUGAUGAUAAUGAUAUGAGAGCUAGCAGUCUCUUCGGUACUAUAUUUGUAAACAAGUAAACAAGUGAUCGGACCUGAAGAUCCUUGAUCAUUGACAUGUAAAUAAAGACCUGGAGUUCCUUGAUAAUGUAACAAUACCGUAUUGGUUAAUAGUACCGUACACACGAAUAAUAGUUGUACUGGCAAAUAUACUGUACACAUGAAUAGACACAUAUUCAUGACUUGAUGAAUGGUACCGUAUACAUGAAUAGUGACGUACAUAAAUAUUAACCACUUUUGGGUAAACCGUCACUAUAUACAAAAGGGAACAUGCAGUUCCUUAAACUCGUGGAUGAUCAAUUAAAUGAGAAGCCAUAAGCUCCUCAAAACAUGGACAAUUACGUAAGGGCUUGAAGUCCCGAAAUAUGUACAAGAAAUUAUGAAAAUGUCCAUAUCAUGAGAAUAUGUGAUUUUGGACUGAAGUUCAAAAUCUAAGAGUAUUGAAUGUCCAUACCAUGAAAAUAUGUGAUUUUGGCAUGAAGUUCAAAAUCUAACAAUAUUGAAAACCUAAAGUUCCAACAGUUAAAUGGACAACCCUUGAGUUAUUAUUAAUAAAGUUCGAUUUUGUUAUAAUUGACACCUCAAGGAAGCAAUAUAUUUUCUGAAUUCCGAUUGUUAAGAAUGCACCGUGAAAUCUAUAAUAUCAGGAUAAACCUCAAAAGGAUGAAUUGCGGUACCCCACAUAUUUUGUUAUAUUAUGUGAUAUGAGCCGGAAGCUCAUGGAUCCAAAUAUAUGAGAGAUCCGAACCUGAAGUUUUAGGUACCCGGGCAAGAAGUUCCGGACUCACAUGCAUUGAAAUAUGUAAUUUGAGAGAUUUGAUGUGGUUAUUUGAACCUAUAAGGCACAAGGUUCCAAACCGUCAUUUUGAAAAACGUGAAAACCACUUGCGCCAAUUUAAGAAUUUACCCAAUUAUUAUAACAGGAAAGGAGCAUACAAUAGAUAGAUUCUUUUCACUUGCAAGGAAGGAGCAGGCUCUGUAAAAUCUAUAAAAUUCCAUUAUGUUCUGGAAGCCUCUGAAGGAAGAGGACGGCGCCUCUUAAGCUUAGCCAUGAGCCUCUCGUGGUCUCCCAGAAUCUUUUCAUUGGAAAUUUGCAGCAUGUCAAGCCUUGUCUGCGUAUCAAUGGAGUAUGAACUCACUAGUUUCAACAAGGCCUUAUUUUCCUCUUUAAGUUUUUCAACCUCUUGCUGAGACUCAUGAAGCAUUCUCUGAAGAGACGAAUUUUUAGUGUUCAGCUCCUGAAUCUCAUUUGCUCUGACAUGCAAACCGUCAUUUGCAUAAGGUUCCAAACUGUCAUUUUGAAAAGACGUAAAAAGCACAGGUGCAAAUUAUUAUAAUAGGAAAGGAGCAUACAACAGACAGAUUCUUUUCACCUGCAACGAAGGAGCAGGCUCUGUAAAAUUUAUAAAAUUCCAUUAUGUUAUGGAAGCCUCUGAAGGAAGAGGACGACGCCUCUUAAACUUAGCCAUGAGCCUCUUGUGUCUCCCAAAAUCUUUUCAUUGGAAAUCUGCAGCAUGUCAAGCCUUGUUUGCGUAUCAAUGGAGUAUGAACUCACCAGUUUCAACAAGGCCUUAUUUUCCUCUUUAAGUUUUUCAACCUCUUGCUAAGACUUAUGAAGCAUUUUCCGAAGAGACAAAUUUUUAGUGUUCAGCUCCUGAAUCUCGUUUUUUUUGACAUGCAAACAAUGAGCCAUGUUCGAAACAGAAGCAGCACUCUGAAUUCUAAAAGCCAUUGAGUCAUCAAUAGCCUCUUUGUCAGACCUUCCUGUUAACAGUAUUUCAUCCAUACAAGUAAGGAAAUUCCUAGCUACUAUGACAGUAAUUGUAUCAUUCAUCAUCACAUAAUCAUUAACCGUGAGAUGACGAUUUUAGGAUACAAAGGAUGGACGCCAGACUUUGGUGUCACUGGUUGUUUUGGGAGCAACAUUUAAAUCGAGAUGCUUUAGGGGAGAAGAAGAGGAAGACAUUAUAUUCAAGGAAAGUCUUAGAAAAGCUAAAUUUUCAGAAAAUGAAAGGGAGUUAAGUUGAAACGCAGUUACUCCAAUCCGGCCUUGUAUAGGUAAUAUCUAUAUACAUAAAUGUGGCAUCGUUUUCAGGAUCCCAAUAUUUUCUCGGAUCCCCAUAUUCUUUUUCUUUUUCAAAUUCCAAAACUUCACGCGGCCUCCAUUAAUGUCUAUUGGCACUUUAGGGGUUUCAAAGAUUAUUUUCGUCAAAGCCGAUCUUGCUUUGCGGAUUUCACGGAGUAACUUUUUCAAAAGCAUCUCGAGAACCUCACAAAUUUCAGUGGUUAAUUUGAAAUUCACCAGUUCUACCUAUUCCUCUAAUUUGUGUAUAAAUAUGUUACUAACAAAAUCUUCUUUGCAAAAUACAUCAAUUUUUCUCCAGUUUUCUCCAUAUUUAGUGAUGCAAUAUUCACUUGUUUUUCCUAUCAGUGAGCACUUGAUGUGCUUGAGAAGCGAGACUAUCCCUGAUCAUCCAUUCAAGAAGUGGGACUAUCCUUGAUCAUGUUUCAGCGAUUUGGGGAGCUAUAGGGACGGCCAUAUGCUUUAAUCUCCUGAAGUUCUUCUAUGCUAGGAGAAAUGAGAGUUUGUGGUCUGUUAUCUCACUAGUUUCCUUCCCUGAUUGCUUACCUACUCUGCAAUCAAUAUCACAAUUCUUUGUAUCUUUUCUUUAUUUUAUAACUCUUUUUUCAGAAGGGAUUUUAUUUUUUUUAGAACGAACAUUUGAAUAAAGAAUCCAUGUAGUGAUCCUAACACUGAGGGUUAUUUUUUUAUAGAGACAGAAGAAUUGUGAUUUUUGAUCUUGCAGGAUAUAACUAGAACAUUAAGCAUUACAUUGUAUUUGCUGAGCCAUAUGAGCUUGAAUGAUAUUUGAGCAAAGUUUCUCCCACCUAAGGAUGUAAGCAAUACUUGUGUUAUUUCAUGCUUGUACUCUUAUUUUGAUAUUUGUACGACAUCCUUAAAGGUAACCAAAUGGGGAGAUAAGGCCGUUCCAGAAGAACGCCAUGCAAAGGAUCAUUCCAGAAGAAUGACUUGCAUUACAGAUAGUUCCAGAAGAAUGACUUGUAUUAUGACCAUUCCAGAAGAAUGGCUUGUAUCAUUCUGAUAUGUAUUCAUGAAUUAUUAAUGCAAAUUUCACAGAUUGCAAGUUGAAUACAUUGAUAAUUCACCACAUUGAUUAAAGUCCCAUAAGAACAGAACAUGGGUAUACCAGUGAUUAAUAUGAUGCACGCAUGUUGAGUAGCAAAUGAUAUGUAUUGAAGUCCCGGAAAGACAAUCCAUUAUCAUGUCAAUUCUAAUACGGUGCACGCCUAAUGGGUAGCAAAUUAUAUGGUUUAAAGUCCCAGAAGGACAAUUAAUUGACAUGUAUGUAUUAAUCUGUGGCAUGCCUGCAACAUGACAGAUAUAUGGGUUCUAAAUGUUUCAACUCCCUGAAUGGAGAUUAUCUACCCCCUACUGUAAAAUAAUGCUCCAUUGGAGGUUAAGAUCCACAUUCUCAGAUAAUUCAUCCUAUAAGAGAUGUCUGUCUGGAAAGAGACAAUAAAAUCCCCUUGAAUGGCUUGGGUAUCCAAAAGCAAAGAAAUGCUUAUAAUUAAUGCAUGUGUAUGCACAUGAGAAUGGUGGGAUCAUAAAUUGAUGAAUGACAAUUUUUAAUUUUGGAGUAGCUAUUCAAAUCACCAAUGGGUUGUGUUGAUUGGAACCACGUUCUAUUAUUAAAUGUCAACAACAUCAUUGGCCAAAAAUGGAAAGAGGCAAUUCCAUUACAUAUGAGAACGAAAGUGAAAGAAUAAACCCAUAGUACGAACCCCAAAAGAUGUUAACCCUGAAAGUUAUACUUGGAUGUUCGGAAUAAAAGAGGAAUAUACUCAAUUUAUAUGACACAAUGUUUCUGGUAGAAUGUUGAGGUUCUCCAUAUUUACAGAUGCAAUCGUGCAUUCUUAUUGCACAUUUACAGAGACCAACGUGUUAUCUUUAGGGGUUAUUAAAUGCACGGAGCAUAUCGCCAGAAGCGAUUCCCUAAGAGAUGUUCAAGCAGAACAAAUAGCUGGAUAUAAAGCUAUAUAAUGUGUCAUGAAGUGUAAUCUCUUAAAUAAAAUCCUUGAAGGAUUGUAAUUGCAUGAAGCAAGUCUCUGAAGGGCAUGUGCCUGGAGCACAAAUUUUGUACUUAAUAUUAAUAUGUAUAAAUUGCCUCAGUGAGUACAUUAAUUAUAAUAUGGUUACAAUACAUUACAACUCCUGAAGAGUUAAUUGAUUAAAACUCCUGAAGAGUUCAAGAAAUAUUUGUCUUGGCCUGAAGAUCGAGACAUUUUUAUGUGGAUUAUCCGUUGGGCACUUAAAUGAUUUUUUUUGAAAAUAUACUGGACUGGACAUUGCUUUUUCCAAAUAGAGCUCAACUCCAUCACCACCACUUUGGGAUGAUGUGAGACAUAUUUGAUACUAUCUCCGCAUAAAACCAUAUACAGACAUAUUCUUUUCAAGUGAACUUACAAAUAGCCCAGGUUUUGUUUGAUUCGCGGACUCUGGAAAUUUCUAUGGUUUACAUAGAAAUAGCUCACUGGAAAUAUAUUUGCUUACUCAAUUACAUGAAUUGUUGAUGGCUACAUCAUUCCCUCAGUACGAAAGAUCUUGCCUCUAGAAAGACAGUCAUGAAGAUAUCAGAGGGAGAUAUUGUUCAAGGACAGCAUCCAAUAGUGUUACAAGAUUGACUCAUAGUAGUAGUAUCAGCUACUACAUUCAGAAAGAUGAUCAACAGUAUGGCUUAAAAGAUAUUUUGCCAAGCAAUCAAAUUAGAGCAUGCAAAAUCAAGGGGAGCAUUCAUAAGUCCUCUAACACAGGACAUAUGCACGUUGUACUAUUUUUCCUUCUACUAAGAUUUUUCCCACUGGGUUUUUCCUAGCAAGGUUUUAACGAGGCAACAUGAGCCCAUUUACAUUACCCUUAUGUCCCAAAUAAAGUUGUACUUUUUUUCAUUCGCUUAGGUUUUUUCCCACUAGGUUUUUCCAAGCAAGGUUUUAAUGGGGCAACCAAUCUAGGGACAUGUGGUCUCUAAGGGGGAGUGUUGUAAUGAAAGUGGUGAAGCCCACAUAAAGGAAAAGAAGGAAAUAAUAGUCAAAAGCUUAAUGAUGAUGUUGGAAGAUUAGUCAAGAGCUUAAUGAUGAUGUUGGGUAAAGAAGCCAUCCAAUUUGCCUAUAAAUAUGCUUUCUCAUUCAAUUGUAGAACACACCAAAGGAGAAGAGAGGAAAGAAAGGAAGAGUGAGAGGAACAAAAGAGAGUGAGUCCUAUCUGAGAGGAAAUUCUGUCAGUGUAAACAUCACAAGAGCAAAUACAAUUCUACUCCCAAUAUUCAGUGGUACUUUUUAUACUCUAUUAUUUUAUUUUUAUAACAACCUAUUAUUUUCAUGAAACACAUGAAGACACCCAAACAAAGAAAAAGUAAAAGAAAGUAGGAAUAAAGUAGGGGUUCGAAAUGGGGCAAGCUUGAAGCAAUCCCAAAAAAAGAUGAAGAUUCUUCAAAGCAAAUUAGGCAUUUCAAUCUAAGUGAUAACACACACAAAAUUAAACGUUGUUAUUUGUCUUCUUAUGGUAUCCCAAACCUUUUUUGGCUCUCAAUAACUUACGCAGCUUCAUCUAUAUUCAAUUUCGAAUCCAUCUUUAGUCUAUUGUUCCUUGUGAACGACUAAAAGGAUUGACUCACAAGUAGAAUCCAUCUUCAAUCACCUACAGCCCUUUCCUUUAUUUUUUGAUUUAAAAUACCCAAUUUUUUCAAAUAAAAACUUAUGACUAGGAUCUAAGUAAGCAAGUUACCUAAUUCGGAUUCUAAAACUACCCCUAUUUACAAGUUUAUGUGUUAUGUGGGUUGGGGGGGGUGGGGGGUGAUGGUGUGGGAGAGGAGGGUGUGGGGGUUGGGUUGUAACUAAUGACACAAGUUGAAUUUGGAAAGAUCUCCAAAUGGUUGUAAUGGAUGUAGGAAUUAAUUUAGAAACUUAUUUGAAAUUAAAUAUUAAAUUCAACAUUAGCGUAUUAGUAAUCUAUAGGUGAUUAACGUUUUGGUUUAUUUAAAAAAAAAUUAUGUUGUUUUCUUUUGAUGAAUUAUACAACUAGUAAUCUAUUUUAUUAUAGUUUUAUGAAUUAGGGAUUUGAUUCUUAUUGAAAUUUCUAAUUGACUCAAUCUCUCCAUUUAAGGGAAAGAAUAGUUUCCUUAUAGGGAUUGUUCUUUGAAAAACCCUAGAUGGACAAGAAAACUAUAAAUACAUGCCUACAUCACACUUACAAGAUUCUUCUCACACCCAAAAAACCCUACACAAACACCUCUCUCUCUCUCUCUCUCUCUCUCUCUCUCUCUCUCUCUCUCUCUCUCAUACUCAAGCCACCACCCACGGCUCCGGCCACCCGGCUCUCCCCGUGAGAGAAAACUCUGUCUACUUAGCUAUUGUCGUAUAUUUUUCAAGAUCCAAUUGAAUUAACUUAGGCAUUGGAGGGCUUUGGCCAACAUCCCUUGGGUGUGAUCCGUGACCUAAAUUUAUUUUACAGGAACCAAGGGAGAAUAAAGAGAAGGAAGUUCGAGAGUGGAAGAAUCUACACACGAAUAUUCUCCCGUGAGAAAUUUGCACAAACACAAAUCAUGAAGACAUUGAGAUAGGACGAAAGUGAUUCAGAAGAUGAUGAAGGAGGUCCCAUAUUUGCUGUUUUUGGAGAGUUGACUAACAAGAGAAUGGAGGCUGAAAAAGAUGAGGGCGGAGAUGGUGCUGCUGCGACCAAGGACGGUGACAGCCAACUUGGCACCCUUGAGAGAAUAAAAACGCUAAAACGAGGCGGUUGAUUUAAGAACAUUUUGAUGCAAAUGUCGACUAAGUACUAACUGUUGAGCCUCCUGUAUACAAGACGAAGAUACAUACAACAAAAAACUUACAUAGAUUAAAGUUUCUUCCUUUACAACCAAUAAGAGAGUGAGAGAGAAGAAAAAAGCUUUCUUCCUUUAAAGACUGACAUAUAUAUUUCCUUCCUUUUCUAGAUGGCUAUAACUUUGUUACAUGAAAGCUUUCUUCCUUUAAAGACUGACAUAUAUAUUUCCUUCCUUUUCUAGAUGGCUAUAACUUUGUUACAUGAAUAGAAUGGAACUUUGAAAAACAGAAACAAUCUGAAAAACAAUAAUUGUAAAUAAAAUGAAUUACUUCUUGUAAUACGAGGGGUCGUUUGGUACGGAGGACUAUUAUGGAUUGGACUAAAUUCUGGGACUGUUUUGAAUGGAUUGGCCUAAGCUGGAUUAAAUACAAACCUACAUUUGGUGGUAUGUCGAACUAAGAAGCUGGAUUGUAAAAAUAGUGAAGACCUAUAUUUGGUGUUGAGUCGGACUAAAAAAUAAUUAUUUUAAUAUUUAAAUUUAAUAAUUUUUAGAUAAUUAAAUGUAAUUUAAUAAGAUCUUAAAACUAUGAACAUACUUUCUAGAUACCAAAUUUACAUGUAGAUGUCAAAGUCAGAAUUUCUCCAAAAAGUCAUAACAAAUCAACAAAGAUAGCAUUCCAAAAAUGCCAUGAAGCCCAUUCAUAGCGAUUUACGAAUGCCACUAUAUAUGUAAAUUUCAACACCCAUUCAAGAAUAAAUAAUAAAAAUCAAUACUCAUGUAGGAAAAUUUCAUUUCACAAUAUAAGUGUGUUAGUAUGAAAAUUGUCUUGGUAUUUCUAAGACUCUAGCAUAGGUCGGGAAUUAGUGUGUGAAUAUCUAUUACUGGAAGUUUUGGAGCAACACAUUCAAUCUCGGAUUUUCAAAGUGUGACUUGACUGAUAUCAGAAAACUGAUUUCAGGUAAAUCAUGAUAUAAUCACGCAUUCAUUAUAGGAUUCCUAGUUAGAGUUAUUUUAACUCAAGUACUUUUUUGUUAGUCCUAUUUUUAAUAGGAUUAGAUUUUAUCUCUUGAGAUUACUUUCCUAGUUGGACCUUAUUUUGGUUUAUGUUAAAAUAUCCUUUUUCAUCUUUGACUUGGAGAGCACGUUCUAUUUGGUUUAAUUAUUUCAUUAUGUCUGCUCAGUUGGGAGGAUGAAUAGUCUCAAGUCAUUCAUGUAGAGACACUGAGACAGAUGUGUAGGUGCUCUAUAGAAGAUGAAGUCCAUUGAAUGUGAUCAACUCUAGAAUUCUUGUAUGGAAGUCUUACUCACAAGUGUCAAACAAAGAAUUAUAAGUUGUGAUAAUGCAAAUUAAUCCUUAGACCUGAGACAUCACAGUUGUCUUGUGUACAUGUUGUUUUUCUUUGAGAGUACUAUACGGUCGUAUCAAAAUGAUGUGACACAAAGGUGUUCUUCAGGAUUCUCAGCGUGUACGCAGAGACAAGUGAAUGUACAACAAUGAAUCUCUGCUCAUAGUAAGAAGAGAUAAUACUCUAAAGAUAUGAUUCGUGAAUCUUUGGCUAAAGUAUUGGAUGGAAAUUGAAACAAGAAUGUUUGCAAUUUCAUCAAAUUGAAUCAUAUAAUCAAGAGAUGUCAUUUUAGGGAUUUUGACACAAGUUUACCAUAUCUCGAGAAUAUAACAUAGAGUAUUGAAUUAGAGAAGGAUCGAAUUGCAUUGUAAUCACAAACUGACUAAGUUCUCUAAAUGAAUUCUUUUUAGCUUGGGUUGCCAUGACAUACUGCUAGGUGUCACUCAUGGCUUGUGGAAGCCCUGUAAGAACUAAUUAUAAUAGCCUUCGCCAAUAGGGAGAAUUGUAUGGAGGGAUACAAUUCACACUUGAUUCAGAGUGAAUCAUUCAUACCUACUGCCUCGCUAAUUAGAACCUAUAAGAUCGCACGCCGAAAAGGAAUCGAUUGGGAAAUUAUGAAGAGAAUGAAUGAUUUUGUGACUUGGUCAAAGUCAAUGUGAAAGUCAAAGGUCAAAGUCAAAAGUCAAUGGUCAAAGGUCAAACGAUUGACCCGACACUUGACAUGGUCAACUAAGAAUGACCAGGACCAACACACUCGUUAGACAAGUGAGUGAUUGAAUUAGUCAAGUCACUAGAGUAAUUAAAUUGAUUAGAUUAAUUUAAUUAUUCAAUUAAAGUUAUGAAACUUUAAUUAAAGGUCCCAUAUGACUUGAAAUUCAAAAGGGAUUUGACCAUAUGGACUUAGGCAUAUAUGUGACACAUUAUAGGAUUUGGACCAAGAUAGCAAAAGAUGACACACAAAAGGGGGGGUGUGGCUACACUAGGGCUUGGGGGCAUUUUUGUCACUCUUGUGACAUUUUUGAUCCUAAGUGUGUAGCUAUGGAAUCCUAUCAUUCUAGGGUUUUUCAAGUUGGUGAAAUUGGAAGAGAGAAAACAUCAAGUUCUCUCUCCCUAACCCCUUGAAUCUAUCACAUCAAGUGAAGGUGCUAGCACCACUCUUCACUUGUUGUAUACUCAUUCUCUCAUCCCAUUCAAUUCUUGGUGAAGAGCUUUGGGGAGGUGCAUAUCUUUGUACCUAUUUGGAGAGCUACAAGGCGGAGAAUCAACAUCAAAGGGACCACUCCCUCUACUUGAACACCAUUCUUGGUUUUAAGAUUCGCUCCAAGGGUAUGAACAUCUUAUCCUUCUCUCAUAUAGGAUUUAGAGAGUCUUUGGUGCACACUUUCAUAGACUUAUAAAGAUUGGGACCAAAUGAGACUUGCACGAAUCCCUAAUUUAUUUAAUGCUUCCGCUGUUACUUUGAUUUCAUAUUAGAUAUGGCAUGCUAGGUGAUUUCUACUCUCAAAGUUUGGUUGUAGAGUUUUUACAAAUCUCUACACAACACCAUUCCUAGAAUAUUCCUUUCGCCAAGACCAUGGUAGCGGUUUUCCUCCGGCGAGCUUGAAGCAAUUGUGACCAGUAUUGCAUUCAAUAUAAAGAGUGUCGAAAGAUCAUCCCGUGACAAAAGUUAAGUUACGAAGAAGUCGGUAAACAUUAUCUAGAAUGUGUCUAGAAUAAGUGUGUGAGUACUUCUUGUAAUCAUCGUUCUAUAGUAGAUUUGUGUUGAACUGAGGAGUCCUGUGGAUUUUCUCCAGAUGUGGGGUUUUCCCACGUAAAAUAAUUCUUUGCGUGUUCUUUUAUUUUAUGCUCAUUGCAUUUUAGUAUUGAUAAGCCAUAUCAAUCCUGCUACCCAAGUUUAUUUUUUGUUUAUUGAUUAUAAUUAUGCACCCCCUCUAGGCAUUCUUAAUCAUCCUACAGUUAAUUUCAAAGUGAAAUACAUAUUUACUCAUUUGCCCUUACAAACUACUAAUGCUUGGGCGUAAUUGUAACUAGCAUAAGUCUAGUAUUUUGCUAGUUCUCUUCAGAAGUCGUGAUCCAAAAGUUCCAUUCAUUGUCAAAAUAUAAGUGCAAGCAAUGUAAGCCCUUGAUGUCUUCUUCAGUCACCAAAAGCCAACUACCAAUGUGAAAGAAAAAAAAAUCUAUCUUAAGUAUGUGAUUACAUUUCAUCAGGAAAGCUCACAAUAUAAGUUAGAAACCUAGUCAAUUAUGAUCGUCCAUGGAAAGUAAUUGAAUACUGAACAUAACAAGAUAAAACUUUACUUCUUAUUGCUUUGAUUUUCAGUGAGGUCUGCAUUUCUUUGGAUUUUCACUCCAUCUAAAAGUACCUGAAUCCGGAUUGUAAGAGACCAAACAAUCAAAAUCAACAAACUCAUGUAAGGCUUAAAAGUCAAUGUCAAUUGCAGACAUACAAAAAAAUCUAUCUCAAUUUGAAUGUUAAGCACAAAGUGUAUGAUUCAUAUCACAUAUAUGACUAAUGUAAUGUGACGAACCUCUUUGCAGAGCAUUUGAUGACACCACAUCUUGCAACUGAGCCAAUUAUAAGAGGCACUUCCAGCAUCCAACAGAAAAGGGAUUUACACUGAAGCAAGCACUAAGCUAACCAACUAUGAUUACACCAUCAGCUUAAACUGUGAAAUUAUGCAUGGUUGCCUACACAAAUUGUUUUGACCUCCAAACAUGGGAAAAUCUCUCAAGCAUGCAAGUACACAUAUAACAUCUCAAGUCUCGUAAAAUAGAACUUUGCAGCUAAACGAAUAAUGUAAUAUGUUUUUCUUUGCAUUAGAGAUGACAAAAAUAAAUUAAAUUGUUGGAUGUUUUUCUUUGCAUUAGAGAUGACAAAAAUAAAUUAAAUUGUUGGAUGUUUUUCUUCAAACAUCCAAUUGUUGGAUAAAUUAAAUUAAAUUAAAUUUGGACCAUGAAAUAAAAUUUGGCACCAUAUGAGAUACAUGAAAAAUUCAAAAAUUUGGUCUUGCAUCUAUUUAUUACAAAACAGGGGACAAGUUAUUUAAAAGAUAAGCUAGACUACUCAACACAACCACAAAAAAGACUAAAAUUUGGCAUGUUUUGGUGCCAAACCCAUGACUAAGCAUGUCAUUAGACCUCCAAUGAAGCAACUCUUGAGAAACUCACCACUACCUUUGUCUCGAAUGCCCAUGUGGUAGCCAAGAUCAAAAUCAAGAAUUGCAUUACCACCCCAUUGCAUAACCCAACUGAGUGCCACAUUUUAGCAAACAGUUGGAGUGCAUGUUGUGCUCUGGACUCUUCAAAGAUUGAAACCUAUUAAUCUUAUGAACAAAACCAAUGGACUCUGACCCAGCAAUAAUGACAACAAAUUAAGACAAAGAAACAAGCAAAUCUUAUGUGCAUUUGGGUUCAGGAAUAUGCGAUGUCGCUGAUAUCCACAAUUGAAAACCCACAAAGCCCACUUCAUGUACAAACAGAGUCGUUCAAUUGGUUGACGACCAUGUUGUUCACAUCAUUCAUAGACUCUGUAAUUUCAGGUGGUCUGAAAACAUCAUUAGAAACAAGAAAUUCACUCUUGCAAUCAAUUGUCGAUAUCUAGAUUUGAAUUGAGAGAAUGCGAUAAUUUAUUGAAUGGAAAGUGGCUUUUAAAUAGCCUUACAGAACAGAAAGCAGAAAAACACGAUCCCAUGACUAACAGUCCCUGAAGUCAAGGGAUCCUCCUAAAGAAAAACUCAAACAUUAUCUACUUCCUUAAAACAAGGUUUAUUGCAACUAAAACUAAACAACUUUAACAAAUAGUAAAUAACAACUUUUUGUUAAAAUAUGAAUAUGGUUUGAAUGCAUUAGGUUUAAAUUAUAUUCUUCUCCAUAAGGAGGUAUAUAUAAAAGUUUACAUGAGUGCUGUACAAGGAAAUAGAUACAGUAAUCAAUUGGGAUAGUACCUCAUAAUUAUACAAAGAUUUGUCAACUAAAUAAAAUGGGAAAAUAAAUCCCUUAAUUAAUCAAGGAAAUAAAUCUCCUUGAUUAAUUAGGAGACUCACGUCAACACCCCUCCUCAAGUUAGUGCAUAUAUGUCACCAAUGCCCAAUUUGGUAAGUGAGUCAUGAAAUAUUCUGCCAGUUGAUCUUCUGAUUUUACGAAUGGUAGGUGGAUGAUCUUCUUCUCAAUCUUCUCUUUGAUAAAAUGUGUAUUCACUUCAACAUGUUUGGUUCGAUCAUAUUGAACUGGAUUAUAGGUAAUGUCAAUGGCUGACUUGUUAUCACAAUGUAACUCAAUUGGCUUUCCUGGCUUGAAACCCAAUUUUGUCAACAGUCUUCUGUUCUAUAGUAGUUCACAAACUCCGUGAGCCAUUCCUCGAUACUCUGCUUCUGCACUAGACCGAGAAAUCACAUUUUAUUUUUUCACUUCGCUAAGUGACUAGAUUACCUCCUAUGAAGGUAAAGUAACCUGAAGUAAAGCAUCUAUCAGUAAUGGAGCCAGCCCAAUCAGCAUCUGUACAUCCAACAACUUCGAGAUCUCUAUUUUUUGAGAACAUUAAUCCUUUCCUAGGUGCUGACUUUAAGUAUCUUAAGAUCCGAUCAAUUGCUUUCCUAUGGGACACACUGGGUGAUUCAUCUCGAUGGGUGUAUCAGCGGGUUUGCAUCCAAACAUUUCUGUUUCAGUAAGCAGAUCUAAUACAUACUUCAUUUGAGAUAGAAAUAUACUAGUUGUGGACCUGGCUACUUUAAUUCCUAUAAAGUACUUCAGAUCACCUAAAUCCUUCAUCUCAAAUUCUUGAGACAAAUACUUCUGCAGUUUCAGUGACUCUUAUGUGUCGUUUUCAGUUACGACUAUGUCAUCCACAUAAACAAUCAAUGCAGUAAGUCUUAUUCCAUCACGCUUCAAGAACAAAGUGUGAUCUGCAUUACUCUAUAUAUAUCCAAAAUUCUUCAUGGAUUUAGUGAAUCUGCCAAAUCAUGCCCUGGGGGAUUGCUUUAACCCAUAUAAUGAUUUUCUGAGUUUGCAAACUUGACUCUCCUUGUCACGAGCUAAUUUACAUCCUGGUGGUAAGUCCAUAUAUACUUCUUCUUCUAAGUCUCCAGGACUCUGAUAGUUGUAAUCUUGGCUACUGGGGCAAAGGUCUCUUGGUAGUCUAUCCCAUAUCUUUGUGUGUACUCAUUUGCCACCAAUCUAGCUUUAUAUCUUUCAAUGGAUCCAUCUACUUUGAGUUUCAUAGUAUAAAUCCACCUGCAUCCCAUUGUUUUCUUUCCAUGAGGUAAUUGCAUGAGUUUCCAUGUACCAUUCUUUUGGAGAGCUCGCAUUUCUUCAUUUAUGGCUUCUUUCCAUUUUGGGUCUUCCAGUGCUUCAGUUACACUGUUGGGAACAUGUAUGUCGACCAACUGUUUCACAAAGUGUACCUGUGACUCUGAUAAUCUGCUGAUGGAUAUAUAAUUGUUGAUGAGAUAUUUUCCUUUGGCAUUAAGAUCUGCUUCGUAGUGUACUGGAGGUUUGCCACGGUUCUUCCGUUUUGGAAUCUGAUAUGCAGGCUUUGUGCCUUAUGAAAUCAAAUUAUCAUGGGAUAUUUCAUUAAUGUUAUCAGUUUCAGGACAAGAUGUUACAUGAAUGACAUUCUCAGCAGGUGAAUGGUGUGGUACCGGAGCUAAAGAAGUCUCUGGAGUGGGCAAAAUCUCAUCAGUUUCCUCCUCCUGAGUUGGACAACAAGGAGACAACAGAUUAGGUUGAGGCUGGUUUUCGGGGAGCGAUCGGUCGCUUCCAAGCUGCGACUAGUCAUUUUCUGGUACAGUUAGAAACGACCAGUCCUUAUCAGGCUACGACUGGUUGCUUUCAACAUGUGAUCGGUUCUUUCAGGUUGGGACGAUUCUGGAGAAAAAACAUCGAAAAUUUGAGAAGUGUUGGUGUCGCAAUUUUCCUCAUAUUCAGCUGAAAAAUAUAUGUUGUUUUCUCGAAACACAACAUCCAUAGAAGUAUAGAUUUUCUAAGUAGGAGGAUGAUAACACCGGUAUCCUUUUUGAUGAGGUGCAUAGCCAAUGAAAACAUACUUUUCGGCUCGAGGAUCCAAUUUGCUUCAUUGGUGAUCAUGUAAGUGGACAAAUACAACACAACCAAAAAUUCAGGGUUCUAGAUUUGGGGUGGGAGGUGUUUGGAUAUGGUGGUGAAGUGUUUGAAGUGGUGUUUGAUAAUUUAAGAUACUGGUGGGAAUCCGAUUGAUAAGGUAUGUUGUAGAGACAACUCUUCGCCCUAAAAUUAUUGUGGCAUAUUGGCACCAAAGAGAGAGGCACGAAUGACUUCCAAUAAGUGUCUGUUCUUUCUUUCAGCCACCCCAUUUUGUUGGGGAGUGUAAGGGCAUGAGCUUUGAUGUAUGAUGCCCUGAUCUUGUAAGAACUGGUUAAGAUCAUGGUUAAGAAAUUCUCUGCUAUUUUCAGAACGAAGAACCUGAAUUCUGGUAUGAAACUGAGUAUCCACCAUUUGAUAAAAUUGUUGAAACCUGGAACUGACUUCCCUUUUUUUUUUAGAAGGGAAACCCAAGUCAUGCGUGUGUAAUCAUCUAUAAAUGUGACAAACCAUUGCGCCCUUGCCGGAGUGGCAAUUUUACCAGGUCCCCAAACAUCAGAAUGAACAAAGGAAAAUGGAACCAAAUGUAACACCCCGACUCCAAAUUUAAUUAACUAUUUAAUUUAUUAAGUGAAAUUACAAAUUUACCCAUAGGGUAAGGGUAAUUUGGUCUUUUUUAAAUCCCGAAGGAUUUUGCGACAUCGAGUGAUAUAGUGGCGUAGGUCAUACUGAGAUGAGUCCAUAGACAUGCGGUAGGCUUGAAUCGGAGUUGUAACGAAGAAAUGGCGACCAAAAGAAGUCCAGUGACAAACUUGUAAAUAUUUCAAAUUUGGGAGUAGAAAAAUCAGAAACCUUUUUUCUCUCUCCUCCAUGCGUCUUCUCUCUCUCUCUCUCUCUCUCUCUCUCUCUCUCUUCAGCCUCUCUCUUUCUCCGACGUCCUCUCCCUUUCUCUUCGAUUGUCUCAACUCAGGUCACGACAAGGGCUGGCGCUAGUCUUGUUCGAACCGGCUCGACCUCACCGUUCAAACCCACCCGUUUUCCUGACUGGAAAAACUUGAAUCCUGCCGGCAAUAUCGACUAGUUCAAUCAGAGAUUUUUCCUGUUGUUGCGCCGCUGCCUCCGCCGCUCGAUCUCGGUGAAAAAGGUGAGGGUUCUUCCUCUUUUUACUUGCUCUAGCUGUUUCUGGGGUAGGAUUGGAUCGAUUUUUCGUGUAGGAGAAUGAUUUCGAAAACAUAGGUUUUGGCUGAAUUUCAAAGGGAAAUUACAGCCGGUUGCCUUCCGAAUUGGACCUCCUCGUAGUUGAAUAAAUUGAUCCUCGCCUCGAGUAGUAUCUAGGGUAGAAAGGGAGAAUCACAGUAUGGAGUUUUUCCGUCGUCGAAAAUUACUCUACACACCCAUACGCUGGCGGCGCUUGGGCAAGGUGAUGAGGCCACAUUUUUAUCUUGUUGUAAUCCUUGUGUUGUCACGAGAGCGUAGGUGUGCUCGGAUUUCAAUUUGGACGUCGUUUAACUAACGAAAGAAUUUCGCAUAUUGUGCGUUAUCCGGGUUCAAUAGGUUUUGACCGUUGGAUCGCUUCCAAAUUAAAAUAUGUUAAUUUAGGCUCUCCUAGAAUCGUGUAGGAUUUCGUGGAUCGUGAAUCGGAACCCCGGAUGUUCCGUUUCAAUAAUUCAAAGUUGUGGUUUAUGAUAACCGUCAUUUUCUGAUUAAACUUUCAAGACGUAAUUCCUAACUCGUAGUCAGACCUUAGAAUACUUCGUUCGACGUGCACGCACUGGGAACAUGGAGAAAUUAGUAUUUAAUUUGUGGAUUCUAUUUCAAAGUGAUUUUAUAUUAAUUGAGGGUUCGUAUCUCAAAAUAGGUGCUCCAACCUCUCGUACCUAGCAGGCGGGACCCUCCCAGGGUCGGGCAGCUUGGGACUAUUUGUGAGUGGGCUUUGUUUUCAAUCAUACGCAUGGUUUUAUUGAUGAAAUAUUUAUGCAUAUGUUUUAAAUGGUAUAUGGGAUAUAAUAUAUAUUUGGUUGUUGAAUUUGAUGUUCUUAUAAGCUUUGGUUAUAUAUUUUGGGUUUCAACAUAUUUGGGUAUCAUGAGUAUGUUUUUAUGGAUUUUUGGGAAAUUCUAUCUAUAUUGAAUAUGUGUGGGGUACUUGGGUUGUUGAGGUUAGAUUGUGGAAGAAUUUGAGUAUGAGGGGUUGUUGAGAGGAGAUGUAUGAUUACACCAUGUAAGUACCAUCCCUUAAUUAUUAGUCUCACAAGUGGCAUUGGUAGUUCCGGCGUGUGAGACACUUCCCAUAUGUAGCGUUGGUAGUUCCGGCGUAUGGGAACACUAUGUACAUUGCUUGGAAUCAUCACACAUGGCAUUGGAAGUUCCGGUGUGUGAUGAUGUAGUCUGUGCACGUAGGACUUAGUCAUGGAGCUACACGUGGCGUUGGUAUUUCCAACGUGUGAGUUAUGGAGUUUCAUCCCCUGGUUGGACCACUCAUCCCUAGGCAUAGGAUAGCACCUGAAAAUCCUGCGGGCUAGCCAAACAAUCCCCCGGUUGGAUUGUUUCCCCGGUACCUAGGUAGUGUGAUAAGUAUAUUGUAUAUUUAUAUUUAUAUAUUUAUAUCUGUAUAUAGGUGUGAGUGUAAAGCAAUUAGAGUAUAUGUAGUGGGUUGGGAAGAGCAGUAUAAUUUUGGGAAUGAAGUUUAUGGAUUGAGUUUUGUGGUUUUAAAAGGGUUUCAAAGAUUAAUGGUUUUGAAUAUUAAAUAUGAGUUAUGAAUCUGCAUGCUUUGGGUAUUAUUUUUACACGGUGGGGUUAUUAUGUUGUUUUAAAUGCAAACUUUGUUUUUGUUCACUCACAUGUUUUCUGUUUUGGGCCCCCCAGACAGUAGUCGCUUAGAGGAGAAUUUCAAGCCGUGUUCAAGACCUCGAAUCGUGAUCACCACUAGAUUAGACUUCGAGUAAUUUCUUUUUACUCAGCUGGUUGUCCUUGUAAACUAAAUUCAGUAGAUGCUCUGUUAUUGCCCAUGUUAGGUUUUAUUUGUGAGGGCGGAGGCCAUUUGGGGUUUAUUGUAAAAUGUUGAAUGCAUGCUGCUGGUUGAGAUUAUUUUGUGAUUGUUAUGUAGGUUUAAUUUUGUUGGGUUUGUUCAAUUUAGAGGGAAGACUCUACCAAAAUUUUGGUAGAAUGUCUCGGGUUUUUAGUAAGUGGGCUUGGCAUCGGGGUGAUGUCGGAAUUAAGACGGGAUUCAUCCCAAUUUCUGAGAAAAUUCGUGGCGGGUCCUGUUAAGCUUGGUAUUAGGGCCACUCUGUUGUGUGGUGCGAGUGUAUCGACGAGGACGUCGGGCCCCUAAGGGGGUGGAAUAUAACAUCCCACAUCGACCAACGGAGAGGGGGUGAUAUGCCUUAUAUGUACAUGCCCACCUCCAUCUAGCACAAGGCCUUUUGGGAGCUCACUGGCUUCGGAGUCAUGGGAACUCCGAAGUAAGUGAGUUGGGGCUAGGGUAAUCCCAGGAUAGGUGACCUAUUGGGAAGUUGUUCGUGAGUUCCCAAAGACAAAACCGUGAGGGCAGAGAGGGCGGUCCAAAGAGAACAAUAUCGUGCUACAGCAGAGCCGAUCUCGGGAUGUGACAUGAGAUGUGAUAUGAGAAGGUGAGGAAUUUGAUGUAUGAAUUGGAUUUAAGAGGUAUGUGUAUAAGAUUUGAGGGUAGGGAUUUGGAUAAAAGGAUUUGAGGACGUUAGAUUUGAGGGAUUUGGAUUUGGGGAAAAUUAUGAGGAAUUUGAUUUAGGGUUUUGGAUUUGAAUAUGAGAAAUUUGACAUAAGAUCGAUUGCUCUAACACCAUGCUAAAAUAUGAAUAUGGUUUGAAUGUAUUAGGUUUAAAUUAUAUUCUUCUCCAUAAGGAGGUAUAUAUAAGAUUUUACAUGAGUGCUUUACAAGGAAACCGAUACUGUAAUCAAUUAGGAUAGUAUCUCCUUGAUUAAUUAGGAGACUUACAUCAACAGUUUUCACCCUCCCUUAAAUUGAAAAGCAAUUAAGUUUUGAAUUUAAAGACAAACUUCAACAGAUCCUCAGCAAUGUCCACAUCUUUACGAAUGCCUCCAACUUUAAUGGCUUAGGAUAUUAGCAACCUGCAUAUUGCUUGGACAGUGCUCUAACUCAAUUACUUCAUUUUUGACAAGAUCUCAAAGGAAAUGGAAUCUGACAUCAAUGUGCUUGCUCCUCCCAUGCAUUACUGGAUUUCUGGAUAGCUUAGUAAUAGAGCUCUUGUCACAAAAAAUUCACAGUAGGCCUAUCUUGAUUAAAACACAAUUCUACGAGCAACCUUCUUAGCCAAACAACUUGACAGGCACUUGAAGUUGCAGCUAUGAAUUCAGCUUCUGUUGUAGAGAGAGUGACAACUUGCUAUUUUUUCACUGACCAAGAGACAACUGUUGAACUUAGCAUGAAUACAUAUCCAGAUGUACUUUUCCUAUCAUCAAGAUUACCUGCAUAAUCACUAUUGCUGAAUCCAAUUAGCUCACCCCCAGCUUUCUUCUUGUUUCUAGUUUCCUUCUUGUAGAAUAGACCAAGGUCUGCUGUUCCUUUCAAAUAGUGAAGCACUCUUUUAGCUGUCUGAUAAUGAAGUUCACUAGGUGAUUCCAUGUACCUGCUAAUAAGGUUCACAUCAAACAUCAAAUUAGGUCUGAUAGCAGUUAAGUACAUUAGGCUUCCUACUAUCUGCUUGAAGUGAGUGCUAUCGACUCUUUCUCCUCCCACAUCCUUGUUAAGCUUUGUUCCUGGAACUAUAGGAAUUUGGACAAAAUUGCAAUCUUCCAUGUGAAAUCUUUUUGAGAAUUUCCUCAGCAUAUUUCUUCUGUCCAAUAAAGACCCCAUUGCUUGUUUGCUUCACUUCAAUUCCAAGAAAAUAGUGCAUUUUUCUAAAGUCUGUCAUCUCAAAUUCUUCCAUCAUGGACCUCUUGAAUUCUUUGAACAUAUCUUCAUUAUUUCCUGCGAAAAUUAGAUCAUCCACAUAUUACAAUAAGAAUCACACAUUCUUUACCAUGCUUGAGAAACAAAAUGUGCUCGUAUGGGCACUUGGUGAAUCCAGCUUUCAAGAAGUGUGACUCUAUACGACUAUACCUGUAACAACCCGACCCAAAUUUAAUUUCUAUUUUAAUUUAUUUAAAGUGAAAUUACGAAUUUACCCUUGGGGUAGGGGUAAAUUGGUCAUUUUUUUAUCCGGAAGGAUUUUGGGAUCACGAUUGGUAUUUUGGGUAGGUUGUACUGAGACGAAUUCGUAGACAUGCGGUAGGCUUGAAACGGAGUUGGAACGAAGAUUUGGCGAUCAAAAGUAAUUCAGUGGCAAACUUGUAAUUAUUUCGAAAAGGGUUAGACUAAAAAUCUGAUUUUUUUUCACUUUUACCUCACACACACUCUCUCUCUCUCUCUCUCUCCCGAUUCUCCCUCUGCGCGCGACCUCCCCCUCCCCCGUUACUGUUCACUGAGACAGAAACCACCACAUCGCCGCCACAUCUGACCACCCCAGCCCUCGAGACCGGUCCCGUUCGACUCGUCGUGAAGCCACGAACUUGAACCACCCAAAGUCCCCGCCGAAAAACGCUAGAAUCGUCGACAGCAUCGACUGGUUCAAACCCGAUUGUUCUCGACGUUGCGCCGUCGUCUCCGCCUUCCUAUCCCAGUGAAAAAGGUGAGGUUCUUCCUCUUUUUCCUUGGUCUAGCUGACUGUUGUAUAGGUUUGGAUCGAUUUGCUGUGUAGGAAAUCGAUUUGAAAACCUAGGUUUUGGCCGGAUUUCAAAGUGAAAUUCCGGCCAGUUGCCGUCCGAAUUGGACCUCUCUGUAGUUGAAUGAUGUGAUCCUGACCUCGAGUAGAAGCUAGGGUAGGAAGGGUGAGCUCGGGUGUAGAGUUUUUCCGUUGUCGGAAUUUACUCUAUACACCCACGCGCUGCCGGCGCUUGUGGCGGCGCGUGGGUGAGGUGGUGAAGUUGUACUUUGUCCCGAUGAGAUCCUUAGGUUAUCACGAGUGCGUAGGAUUUCGCGGAUCUCAAUUCGGACGUCGUUUGACUAUCGAACGAAUUUUCGCAUAUUGUGCGUUAUCCGGGUUCGAUAGGUUCUGACCGUUGGAUCGUUUUUCAAUUAAAAUAUGUCGUUCUAGGUAUUCUUAGGACUUCACGGAUUGUGAAUCGGAGCCCCGGAUGUUCUGAUUCAAUAAUUCAAAGUUUGUGGGUUAGUGAUAACCGUCCAAUCGUGAGCGAUUCCUAAACCUGCAACCGGACCUUAGGACACCUCAUACAACGUACACGUACUGGGAACUUAGGGAUUUAAGUAUUUAAUUUAUGUUUUCCGUUUCGAAGUAAUUUUAUGUUAAUUAAGGGUUCGUAUCUCGAAAUAGGUGCUCCGACUGCACAUACUCAGUAGGCAGGACCCUCUCGUGGUCAAGCAGCGUGGGAAUACUUGUGAGCGGACUUUGUUUUCAAUCAUAUGCAUGGUUUAUUGAUGAAAGAUUUAUGCAUAAUGAUUUUAAUGGUUUAUUGAAUAUAUUAUAUUCAUGGGUUGAAUUUGAUGUUUGUAUAACGCUUUGGCCUUAUAUUAUAGGUUUGGCAUAUUUGGGUAUCGAGAAAAUGUUUUAUAUGUAUUUUGGGGAAGUUAUAUAUAUAUAUAUAUAUAUAUAUAUUGUCUAUAGGUGGGAUACUUGGGUUGUUGAGGUGAGUUUGUGGAAGAACUUGAAUAUGAGGGGUUGUUGAGAGAAGUUGUAUGAUUACACUAUGUAAGUACCUUCCCCGGUUAUUAGGCUUCCUACACGUGGCGUUGGAUGUUCCGGCAUGUGGGAAGAAUAGGUUAUCAGUCUCACACAUGGCGUUGGAUGUUCCGGCGUGUGAGACACUUUCCAUACGCGGCGUUGGAUGUUCGGGCGUAUGGGAAGACUUUGUAUAUUGUUUGGGAUCAUCACACAUGACGUUGGAUGUUCCGGUGUGUGAUGAUCCAGUCUGCGCGCGUAGGACUUAGUAUUAGAGCUACACAUGGCAUUGGAUGUUUCGAUGUUUGAGCUAUAGAGUUUCGUCCCCCGGUUGGACCGCUCAUCCCUAGACACAAGAUAGCACCUGAAAAUUCUGCGGGCUAGUCAAACGAGAUUUGUUUUUGAAUAUUUAAUUAUGAAUUGUAAACCUGCAUGUCUUGAGCAUUAUUUUUACACAGUGGGGUUACUAUGUUGUUUUAACUGCAAAUCUUAUUUUUGUCCACUCACAUGUUUUCUGUUUUGCUCCCUCCCAGUCAGUAGUCGCCCCAGGAAGGUUGCAAGCAAUGUUCGAAGGCCGAAUCAUUUACAUCAGUGGAUUAGGCUUCGAGUAAUUUCCUUUUACUCCACUGUUCUUGUAAACUAAAUUCAAUAGAUGCUCUGUUAUCGCCCAUGUUAGAUGUUGCUUGUGAGGCCGGGGGCCAUUUUGUAUGUUUUGUUGUAUGAUGAAAGCAUGCUGCUGGUUGAGAUUAUUUUUAUGUUUGUUGCAGGGUGAUAUUUUUGCUGGGUUUGCUCAAUUACAGGGGAGACUCUACCAAAAUUUUAGUAGAAAGUCUCAAUUUUUAGUAAGUGGGACGGGAAUCGGGUGAUGUCAGAACAACAAAAGGGUCCACUGCAGUUUCAGGGAAAUUCCGAGGCAGGUCUUGUCAAUACCAAGCUCUUGGAGCCUACUUUAGUCCAUAUAAAGCCCUUUUUAAUAUGUAGACCUUCUGUUCUUUCCCUCUUUGCACAUAUCCAGGGGGUUGAUCGAUGAACACUCUUUCAUUGAGCUCUCCAUAUAAAAAUGCAGACUUUACAUCAAGUUGAUAGAUUGACCAAUCAUUUUGUGCAGCUAAGGAUAUAACCAAGCGUAUGGUAUCAUGACGAAUCAUAGGGGCAAAUACUUCUGAAUAAUCAAUACAAUAUUCUUGAGUAUAACCUUUAGUUACUACCUUGGCCUUGUAUUUGUCAAUCUCUCCAUUUUCUUUGAAUUUGGUCUUGAAUAUCCACUUCACUCCCAUUGUUUUUUCUCCUUCAGGUAAGUCAAUCAACUCCCACGUAUCAUUUCUUUCAAUAGCUUGUAUCUCCAAGUCCAUGGCUUUUCUCCACUUUGAACUCUUCACAGCAUCAUCAAAAGUAGUGGGAUCAUUCCUACCAGUCAAAGCAAUUUGAGCAAUGUUCUCAUUAUCUGAGAGCUCAUUACCGCUCACAUAAUCUGUUGUCCAGCCAGGGGGUCUUCUCUGCCUUGAUACAUUUGGUGAAGCUUCAUUAAUUCUUGGUGAAUUGUGUCCAUCAGGUUCAUCUUCUACUUCCCUAGAUGUGACUUCUUCAACACCAUUCACUGUUUCAAUUUCUUCAAGAUCAACACCAGCUCUCUUUUCUUGUUUAUUGUUCUAGUCCCAACCAUUAGCUUCAUCAAAUACCACAUCUCUACUGAUUAUGAUUUUUUGAGUCUCUGGAUUGUAUAGUCUGUAGGCCUUUGACUCUUCACUGACUUCGAGCAUCACACAUUUUUUGCUCUUAUCAUCAAGCUUGGUUCUUAGAUUGUCUGGAAUGUGAACAUAAGCCAGACAACCAAAAACCUUAAAAUAAUUCACUUGAGGUUUUUUGCCACUCCAUGCCUCCUCUGGUGUUACACUCUUCACAGCAUGAGUAGGACAUCUGUUUAGGAUGUGUGAGCUCCAAUUCACAGAUUCGGGCCAAAAUUUCCUUGGCACCUUCAUUCUUGCUAGCAUGCUCCUUACCAUGUUCAUAAUGGUACGAUUUUUCCUCUCGGCCACACUAUUUUGUUGUGGUGAGUAAGUUGCAGUUAAUUGCCUGUGUAUACUAUUCUUCUCACAGAAAUGAACAAAAUCAUUGGAAGUAAAUUCUCCACCCCUGUUAGUUUGAAGAGCUUUAAUAAACACACCAGUUUCUUUUUCAACAGAGGCUUUAAAUUUCUUGAAAACUACUAGAGCUUCAGACUUCUCAGUAAGGAAAUAUAUCCAUGUUUUCCUACUAAAAUCAUCAGUAAAGGUUAUGAAAUACCUUUUGUUGCUGUUGGAGAUUGGGUUGACAGGUCCACAUAUGUCAGAAUGAACCAAUCCAAGUAUUUGUGUGGCUCUCCAAUUGCUCUCCUUAAGAAAUGGCUCACGAUGUUGCUUUCCCACCAUACAUUCUUCACAAACUUUUGAAGGAACUUGCAGUGGAGGAAGACCUUUCACCAUAUUUUUUUGUUGGAGUGCUUUAAGACCAUUGAAGUUUAGAUGUCCAAAUCUGUAGUGCCACAACCACAUGUCCUCUUCUACUGUAGAUUUGAAACACAUUUGCUUCUCAGCUACUGAUUCAGUUUUGAGUAAAAACAUGCAAUUGGAGGUCAUAUCAGCUUGAAUGAUCAAACCCUUUAUUAGGAUGAUGAAUCUAACAAGAGUUCUUUUGAAUCAAAAUGACAAUUCCUUUCUCUUGCAACUGACCAAGACUGAUCAUAUUGCUUUUUAAUUCUGGAACAUAAAAUACCUCAGUUAUACAGUGCUUCACUCCAUUGACUUCAAUCCUUAUGUUGCCUCCCAUUACACUAAGACUGGAGUUGUUUCCAAGCUUCACAUUAUCCCUGAAAGAUUCAUCCAUUUUCGAAAACAACUUCUUACUCCCACUCAUGUGAUUGCUGCAUCCAGAAUCCAAGUACCAAGUGCUACUCAUUUAAUCACCUUCAUCUUCAACAUAUGCCAUCAGCAACAUUUGUUCCUCAGUCUCUGCCACAUUAGCCUUGUACUCCUUCUCCUUCUGAGGACAUUCAUACUGAAAAUGUCCAAGUUCAUGCAGUGGUAGCACUCCACAGUUGAUUUGUCAAAUGAAACUUGUCGGCCUCUCCCUCCUCCACGACCUCUGAAACUGCCUCAACCUCUUCCUCUUCUUGGUGAAUAAGUCUCUUGACUAACCUUCAAGGUUUGCUCUUCCAUUUCAUGACAGUUCAUGUACCAGCAGACUACUUUGCACUUCAUCAAUUGAAAGGGCAUUAAUAUCCUUUGACUCUUCAAUUGAAUAUACAUCAUAGUUAUACUUAGGUGUCAUAGACCUGAGAAUCUUCUCAAUCACAGUUACAUCUUCCAUUUUAUCUCCAUGUAUCCUCAUUUUACUUGCAACAGUUAAUGUUCGAGCAAAAUAGUUAGUGACUGUUUCUCCAUUCUUCAUUUGAAACAUCUCGAACUCUUUGCGAAGAGCUUGCAGUUGUGCACGUUUGACUCUAGCCGUGCCUUGAUACUUUUUCUUCAAGGAAUCCCAGAUAUCCUUUGCCGUGUCCUUCUUCAGAAUUAUCUCCAAAAUAGCUCGAUCAAUGGCUUGAAACAAGUAUUUCUUGGCCUUUGAGUCUUUGAGCUUUUGAUCUUUUAAGGUUUUGAGUUGAGCUUCUAUCAACACCGUUCCUCCUGCAUAUGCUGUGAUUCCAUUCUCCCCGAGACUCCAGUAUUCUUUAUAUCUCAAAAAAUUCUCCAUUAACAUACUCCAAUGGUCAUAGUGACCAUCGAAGCGUGGGAUUGAUGGUUGAAUAAAGCUACUUCUUUCAGUUGACAUUGAUACUUGAUACGACAAGAGUUGCUGCUUUUCUUUGCUCUUCAGGCCCCAAUUUGGAGCUCUAAUACCAAUUGUCGAUAUCUAACUUUGAAUUGAGAGAAUGCAAUAGUUUAUUGAAUGGAAAGUGGCUUUUAAAUAGCCUUACAUAACAGAAAGCAGAAGAACACGAUCCCAUGACUAACAGUCCCUGAAGUCAAGGGAUCCUCCUAAAGAAAAAUUCAAACCUUAUCUACUUCCUUAAAACAAGGUUUAUUUCAACUAAAACUAAACAACUUUAACAAAUAGUAAAUAACAACUUUUCAAGACCCACAUGGAUUGACAGGACCCGACCCAAAUUUCAUUUUGGAAUCCGAGCCGAACCCUGCGCGUGUCCAACACCUGGGGAGUGCCGAGCAAAAAUGACAUGUUUGCCCUUCUAUUCAAAAUUCAAUUUAUUUCAGGUUUAACUUCUGCCGAAAAUUCGGCAGAGUCUCCCCUGUAAAUUGAACAUUUCCCAAAAUUUUCACAUGUCAACAAACAUUUAGAUAUCCCAAUCAUUCAGCAUGCAUAAAGUAUACCCAAGCAAAUCAAGCAUCAUAUUAUUCUGGCCUCAGGCCGCAACAACUCAAAUAAAUCAAUUUGCUAAUAAAAUUCAUCUCAACUUUCAGAACAACAAUAAUACAUUAGCAAUCUCAAACAUUCUAACUCGUGGCUGUACCUUUUAACCAUAGGCUGCCUACAUACCCUUACUGAGGGAUCAAGCCACACGUAGUUCUCAUAUUUCACACAGCUUCAUGUUCCUAACUUCUUAGCAUUACUCACUUGGCAAUAUAUAAUUAAAUGAAUGAAUAAAAGUAUUUGGAUUCAGGUAAUCGCACUUUGGUAGCCAUAACUAUCCAUUUUCUCGUGACACCAUUGGUGACACAUCCUGCCCAGUAAUCCUCGCUGGACUCAGGAGACAGCUGGUCAACCUGAUCCGCAAUCCUCGCUCCUACGGUCCAGAUAACUCUAAGACUCGUGGGGCAAAAUGCUAGAAAAACUCGAGCUAUUUAAUACUAUAUCAAAUAAUAAAAGAUAAAGAUAAAUAAACAUAAGAAAAUAAAAUAACAUACAACAAGUUAAAAAUUAACAAACUCCGAAGACCCUUGUAUCCUUGUAUUGAAACUCACAUAAGGUUUAUAAAUAAAUAUAUAUAUAUAUAUAUACAUAUUUACAUAUCAACAACUUAAUUAGGAUCUAUAUAUAUAUAUUUAUUUCCAUUCGUCACUAGUAAAACAAAUGUAACACUUAAUAAAAUAAUGGUAGCUGUAUAAAAUCCUGAAUUUAGUUUAAAAGCAUCUCAGAACUUAAAUUAUCUCCACCUAGGCGUACCCCCCAUUUCUGAUCCGUCAAUUCCUUUAAUACUGUCAAUUCUAUCCUCGCAGGUCUCGGAAAUAUAGAGUUAACCGAGCCUCAUUCCUCGCAGGUCUCAGAGAGAACACUUCAAUCUGAGCCGCAAUCCUCGCAGGUCUCAAAGAUAACACUUCAAUCUGAGCCGCAAUCCUCACACCACACGGUUCAAGAGUCCCUGAAACUCGUGGGGCACUAUCAAAAUAACCAAACUGUUUCAAAGUAACUAGGGGGCACCCUCAUGGUGAGUUUGAAAAUCAUAACCCGUCAUUUAUAUCAACUUUCAAUAAACUUGUUCUCAACUAAACUUAAAAUAUAUAUACAUUUAUAUGCCACAAUCUGAUGAAAGCCAAGUGCUAUGAUUCAUCCUUUUCAACUAAUGAAUACACAUAUAUUAAACACUUAGCUAGUAUGUUAGCCAUACCGAUCUCUGAUUAACAAACCGUUCAAAUAUUAUAUGAAUAAUCUUAUGACAUAAUUAACCAUAUGAAUAUAUAAGCAUGUGAUAAAUUAAUAGAUAAUUAAAUACUCAUCCUGAAUUCACAUAAAAUCAAGAAAUUUAGACCAUAAAUAAACCAAUUGAACACUCGCACGCACAUGAACUUUCUAAAAGCUUAAACAUAUUCUAUGGAGCUCAUCCUCAAUAUUUAAUCCAAAAUCCUAGCCCUGGGCUCCUAAAAGUGCGUGUAUUGAAUUGAAGGUCAUUCUCAAGCCUAUGUAAGCUUUUCCACUUAUUAGGAUGAUCUAUAAGUGCCUCGGGACUCAAAAAGCCAUAAGUCCCAAAAAGUCAACCCUGGACCCCGUGGGGUCCACAACCUCAAAAUUUGGAUUCGAGAGUUCCUAGAGGUUCUAACAUGCCUAGGACAUAUGUCUCGAGAGUCUGGUCUCGAUCGGACGGUCGGACUACUCACGAUCGCACGAUCGGACGGUUAUUGUAAACCUAGCCCUAGGGUUGGCCUUUUCGGAUUAUCCGGGAUGCCGAUUUACAAUCCAUCGAAUCCUACACGAUCCUAGAAUUGUCUAGAUCAACAUAUAAGAAAUUGAUUGAGAUCCAAUGGUUCAAACGUAUCGAACCCAGAAAUCGCACAAUAUGUGAGAUCCGUUUGGGGUUCAAACGUUGUCUGAAUUGAGAUCCGUGAAUUCCUAGGCGCUCGUGACAACAAAAGGAUAAUUUUAGAACAUAAUGUCGAACCAUUACCCUGUCCACACGCCGCCACACGCGGCGGCAGCACGUGGGUGUCUAGAUAAAUUUUGGUGACCAGAAAACUUCAAGGUUGAAGGCCAAGCUUCCUACCUUACGUAAAACACCUUAUUUGAAACCACUUUUGUUCGGACUUACCCCAAAAAGCGGCCGGAAUCGAAGGCCGAAACUGGCCAAAAGUUCAAUCGCUUAAUCAACCAAUUAAACGUAGAAUUUUUUCAAAAAUAUCAAAAUCAGAAGCUAGAACACGUUGAAAGGAUAGAAAAACAUACCAAAAUUCGAAAGAUUUGGUGGCCGGAGGCGUCCGAACGAGUUCCCGAAAGUUCAUUAAAAAACUGACCAACACCGCUUGUUUCGGGGCUGAUUCCGGCGACCACGCCAGUGGAUCAAGGCUGGGACCGGUCGGGAAUUGAAUAGGGAAGUGAGGUGGUUCUAGCGGGACCGGUGCUGCCAAGAGUGGAGGUGUGCACUGGCGGUGGUGGAGGAGAGAAGUUGGUUGGUCGUGAAGCUUCCGAGGGGAGGAGAAAAUCUGGGUUUUAAAACUGAACUUUGAAAUAUUUACAAUUAUGACACUGAGCUUCUUUUGAUCGUAACUUCUUCGUUACAACUCUGAUUUGAGCCCAUUGUGUAUCUAAUGGACUCAUCUCGACGUGCUCUAUGCAACGGUACAACUGAAAUUUCCAAAUUCCUUCCCAGUCAAAAAGUCAACUUUUUCCCUAAUAAUUAAUUCUAUGGGCAAAAUUGUAUUUUUCUCUAAUAAUUUAAUAAUUAAAAAUUAAUUAAGGACCGGGUUGUUACAUGGAUGGCGCCUUCAGAGUGGAGAAAUAUUUCAAGUGCUUCUCACUCCUGCAAUCAAAUCCAUAGUGAAGGUCAAUGGCAGAAUUGUGUGACAGAGUUGAUACACGAUGCACCAAGAUAUCACGACGCAGGUGAAGAAGAAGAAGAAACUGGUUUGCACUGUGUUGGACUCACUUGUUCUAUUCAGCGAGAGUGCUAUUUUGCGAACCAAUUUUCAACCUCACUAUAUUAGAAAAGCGAGUGAGCCCAUUUUUUAACCAUUGGACUAUACAAUCCCAUUGAAGUUAGUCCAUUCUCAAAUCAAACAUGGAUUUAAGUAUUAGGCUAAAUUGUAGCUAUGGUCCCUGGACUAAACCCCAACUUUAUUUUUCGUCCCUUACAUUGUUAAAUUGUUACUGUGGUACUUUAAUUAGAUCUCAUAUUGCAUUAUUGGUCUUUCUGUCAAUUGAGUUAAAUUUUCUGUCAAAAUUAAGGGCAAAUUGGAAAAUUCAUAAUUUCUCUCUCUCUCUCUCUCUCUCUCUCCCUCUCUCUCUCUCUUUCCUCUGCGCUCUCCCACUUCCCCCUGAUGAUUUCUUCUUCCCCCAACCCUUGCACUCACGAAUUGGGGAAUUGAAACAGAUAAAUGGCAUUGCCUUGCGAUUAGGUCCAAGCUAGACGGCAUUGCGUUGUAUUUAGGGCUAGAGCCAUUGUUGAUGAUGAACUCGGCUGAUUUAACAAAUAUGGGGUUGAUUGAGAUCGCUAGAGGGUGCUGCAAAUCACUUCCCCCCGAUGAUUUCUUCUUCCCCCAACCCAGCACCCACGAACCCAGAACCCUCAACCCUAGCCCGGGGCUGGAAAGAGAGAGAGAGAGAGAGAGAGAGAGAGAGAGAGAUUUGAUUUAUUUUUAUAAUUUUUUGAGUGAAAGGAAAUUUUUGCCCAUGCCAAGUAGGUGUUGUCAUUGCCAUGUUAUUAUUUUUAACGGAAAAGUUGACAGAGAUGACUGUUUCUGAAAUUGGAGGCAUAAUUAAAGUACCACGGUAAUAAUUUAAGGCCCGUCUGGUAACGUUUUCGAAGAAUGUUUUAUGAGAAUAUUUUCAGAGAAUGAAAACAAGAAAAUAAAUUUGCAUUUUCAAGAAAUGAAAAUGCGUCUAGUAGAUUAAUUAGAAAACAAAAACAAUGAAAACGUGUCUGGUAGUACAAUUGUUUUUCAAGUGUAUUUUUGCUAAUUUCAGUUCUAAAUAUUUUUAAAAUUUUGAUAUUUUUAGAGGCUAAAAUUAUUAUAAACAAUGAAAAACAUUACAAUGAAAAUAUGUCUGGUAGUACAAGUUGAUAACAAUAUUAUGUUAGUUAUUUUUCAAGGGUAUUUUUGCUAAUUUAUAUUUUGAAAAAAUAUUUUUAAAAAUGUAUAAUUUAACAAAUAAAAAAUUCUAUUAUUUUUUAAAAGAUAAAACUAUCUUUUAUCUCCAGUCCCGAUCAAGAGAUUGUGGUCACUCACCGUUGGAUAUUAAUCCAAUGGUUCAAAAAAGUUUUCUAAAAGGAGUGCAAGAGUGAGUGAACCGUUGAAUUUACAUCCAACGGUGAGUGACCACAAAUCUCUUGGACCCCUGUAGUCCAAGAGAUCAGUACUGCUUUUAUCUCCGUUCUUUUUUCAUUUUUCUUUUCUCCUUUUUCUCAUUUUCUUUCUUUCUUCCUCUUUUCUUCUUCUUUCCUUCCCAGACCCGUUCCUUUUUCUUUCCUUCUUCCUAUUCUCUACUUUCUCUUUUCUUCUUCCUUCCCUCUUUUUCACUCUCACUCCUCCUUCCUUCCAUGACAUGAAUCCCAUCAACCCACCUCUCUGGUUCCACUAAUUAAUGGUUGUGGUGGUUAGAUUGGGUGGUGAUGGUGGUUGAGCUGGGUAUGUGGUGGCUGGUUUCUCUCAUCUCUCACUCUGCAACUCUCUCUCUCUCUUUUCCCUUUCUCUUCUUCUCCCUCUUUCUGAUUCUUUCUCUUCUUCUUCCUUUUUUUUUUCCCUUUUCUUCUUCCUCUCUGUCUUUUUUUCUUGGUUGCAGAUUUGUGUGACUAUGAGUUUUUUUUUUUCUAGAAAUUUUGGGGCUGAUUAUGGUUGGUUGGAGGAGAUUUGAUUGUUUUGGAUAUAAUUUGAUUGGAUUGUUUGCUCAUUUGAUGGAGAAGAGUUGGCUUUGAUUCAGAUAGACUGAAAACAAAAACGCCGAAAACGAAAACGACUUUCUAGCGUUUUCAACAUUUAUUCAUACUUUUAUUUUCAUUCUCAAAAAAUAAUUUCAGCUUGUUUCUCAAAAUAACCCACUGAACACGUUUUCACGUGACAAUAGAAAACAAAAC
RNAcentral lists this long non-coding RNA (59739 nucleotides) under Prunus persica (peach). RNAcentral's name for it is "long non-coding RNA (PPER_LNC003849)". The record is from RNAcentral. Lineage: Eukaryota; Viridiplantae; Streptophyta; Magnoliopsida; Rosales; Rosaceae.